This 83205-nucleotide long non-coding RNA is filed under the name Brachypodium distachyon (stiff brome). RNAcentral describes it as "long non-coding RNA (BDIS_LNC001575)". The stretch from base 628 to 752 matches the Rfam family "MIR1120/MIR1122 microRNA precursor family". Lineage: Eukaryota; Viridiplantae; Streptophyta; Magnoliopsida; Poales; Poaceae. The record is from RNAcentral.
GUGUGCGAGGAUGUGUUUGAGAGCUUGGUUCAGUGUCUCAACUGUCACUCAAAGCUCUCAUUCACUUGGAUGCGCUUCUGGGAGUACUCCGAUUACAUUCAGAGUAACUAAUGUGUUGAAACUGUCUCUUGCCAAAUUGUGUUUUCUGAAGCCUGUUGGAGUGGGAGAAAAUAAGAGAAUCCUGAAGAAGAUUUUCAAAAAAUGUGUGUUUUUGUAGUGCUCCCUACGCAUAUGUGUGUUUGUGUAGUGCAGCUUCUGAACACGAGAAUUCUGAGCAUAUGGUUCACAAAAUUAGGUACAUAUCCGUGCAGGGACGUGCGAGAUGAAAACAUGAAUGAGUUUGCUGGCCCUCACUCUGGAGGUGAGCUCAACCAAUUUCCACACUAUUUCUCAAAAUUGACAGCAAAAGAAAAUUCCCGUUGAGGGGUUGUUUUUUUGCGAAGGGAUAGCUUGAAUACUUGAUGUAUGGAGACCAUGUCUGUGUUCGUAAGGUUCUAGGUUGUUUCUCUUGUGUGUGUGUGUGUGUGCGCAUGUGUGUUGAGCAAAAUAAUGUUUGGGUUCUUUGGGGGUAAAGCUUGGUGCACAUGUAUGGAAGUUGUCUGGGUUCCAUAUAGUGCUGGCCAUUAUGCAAUACUCCCUCCGUCCCAUAUUAAGUGACUUUCUAUUACAUGUAUCUAGACGCUUUUUAGGUGUAGAUAUAUUCAUAUUUGGACAAAUUUGAGUCACUUAAUAUGGGACGGAGGGAGUACAAUAUCGGCAAUAUUUUAACUGUAAAUGGGUGACAUUGUGUUAGUACAGGUUUGAUAGUUCAUGAGUUCUGCGAUAAUGUACACGGCAAUAGCACUUUGUUGCUUAUAUGAAGGUUGAUGUUAAAUUAUAAAAAACGCCAGCAUCUGUAUUCUCUGCAGUUUCAUGCACAUGAAAGGGGUUUGUUCUGUCAUUGCAGUCUCAGUUUGGUUCUUGUAGUCUAGAUUAAGGGGCUAGAUACAUAUCUGUUAACUGUUACCUAAAAUAGAUGUUCACAGGAUGAAGCUGUAAGUUCCGCGGCUCUUAAGAAGAUAUAUGAAGUAGUUUCUAGAAUCCAGAUCACCAGACAAAAAGGAACAUGCUCGGAGUAAUGCUUUUAAAUGGUCUUCCUGCAAGAUCUCAAAAUAAUAACAAUGAUGGUUGGCAUGUAGAUGCAAUUAAGUUGUUGUAAGAUAUGACAAAUUUACUGUUGGUUGUUGUGGAAUGUGAGAGAUGCAAGCCACUCCUGGUUUAUAAUACCAUGUACACUUGUAGUGAGACUUGAAUUAAGCCUGCAUAAAGGACACAAUUGCGUGACACUGAGAGCUGAUAUCCUGUAAGAGUCUAUAUGUUGUGUUAUCAUGUGAUUUAUACAAUAAUAGGCUCCAUUAUUAAUUUUUACACUGAACUGAUACAAUUAAAAGGGUUACUUAAUCUCAUAUGGUUAUCGCGUGUGAUCAUGCCAUUGCGAUGCAUAUGGUUAUUGAGAUGCUGUGUUAAAGCUCUCAGGUUACACUCCGUAAGACCGUUGCAACGCACGAGCAUUUCAACUAGUUUAAUAUGGUUCUACACUUUGUUAUUAUCCCUGUACCUUAUGCAGCUGGUAUUCUGUUAAAUGGAGUCUUAGUGUUGGUGUUCAAACAUAUUUGAACAAGUGGUGGUAAAGGAUUGUUCUGCAUUUGCAGAGUAGUCACAUUUAACCGAAUAUGCAUAUCUAAUUUUUCAGGAAGGAGAGCAGGUUUUCUUUGGCAGAUGUUUCGUUCUGUUCAUUAUAUUUCUUUUCUUUAUAGGUGAUUUGGUUCCAUGCUUGAGCAAGGAGAGCUUAUAGAUGGAUGUAAUUGUGUAUCUAUCGUCAUGUUCAAGUAGAUAUCAUGUUCUCUUACAUGCAUACAACUAUAAAAGUACCUUGUAUACAUUUCUAUUGUUCAGAUUCAGAUUAGCCAUGAAUUCAGAAUUGCCUAACUUAUAUAGUUUAUGAUCCCAUUGAAAACAAAAGAAUACCAUUUAAUAGUACAUUACUUGCACGAUACUUUAGCUAAUUUACUGACAUGAUUCUCUUUUUCACACAUGUUUUACUUAGUAUACUAUUCUAAGAAGAUUUCUGCUCCAGUUUAUGAUACUGGCAUCAGUGGAGGGACUUAGUAUACUAUUCUAAAAAGAUUUCUGCACGAUACUUUAGUUAAUACCUUUUAUGCUCUGAAGGAUUUUACAUCUGUUUUAACUUUAUUUGCAGAUUUUGCCACAAAUUUCUGCCACAAUGCACGGGGUGUCAUGUACUUGCAUCAGUGAAGGGACUGAUAAAUUUUGCAAGCAUCCUUGGACCGAAGUCCGGCUGGAGGCGCUCGUGAUGCAUCCUGGUUUAUCUAUGAUCCAAUUUUCAUUGUUGAGAAACCUGAGACGGGCAAUGAAAUGGUACUAUUGCAUCUCAUUAUCUCCUCUGGAAUGAAAUAAAAGAAAAUCCAAUCUAUGAAUAUUUUUCUUUUCUGGAGCCAUCACCACAUAUUUUAUUCCAUUUCUAUUUUGCUAUUAGUUUAGAGCAGGUGCUUCAGGGCACAUUCAAUCAUAUUGGCUAUCUACUCCAUUAAUAAAUUCUACAACUUUUAAUGAAUUUUAUGCUUUUGGUUUCCGCAUGUAAUAGUCAUUCACAUGCCAUUUUUUACAGUCACAUUGGAGCAGAUGCACAAAGCAGAUCCUAUCAUGUCUUCAGAUGGAAUGCUUAUUGAGGAUAUAAACGAUUAUUACCUCCGUGCCAAGCUCCACUUGGUAGAUCUUGUGGGUUCGGAACGGGCUAAGAGAACUUGUUCUGAUGGCCUUCGGUUCAAGGAAGGUAUUUGACAUAUUUGUUGAUUUAGAUGAACCCUUCAUCCAGGAUAAUCUCGGCCCCGAACUAAAGCUAAUUUGCGCUUCUUAGCAUUAGGCGUUCAUAUAAACAGAGGACUUCUUGCUCUUGGAGAUGAGAAGAAGAGGAGAGAAGGUGCCCAUGUCCCUUAUCGGGAGAGCAAACUCACUCGCAUUAUGCAGGUUAUAUUCUUCUAACGUAGCUGCACAAAUGUGGCCUUCAAACGAUCUUACCUUUUUAUUCUCUGCUUUUGGAGGAAACUAUACACUCCAUAAUAUUUUCCACCAGAAUAUUUUUUUCUAGAAACGGUUAUUCUACAAAGGAUCAAAAUUAGAGGAGAGUGCCAUGCCUGCUUUGGUUAAAGACUUUGGCAUUUUCUGCAGAAAAGGAGAGAGAGUUAGGACAUGCAUACAGUGAAAUAAAAGGCCUGAAGGUGACAGAAGCUCUGAAGGACAAGGCUAUUGCUGAGGUAAUUUGCUUCACGAGUUAACUUUCCCUUUUGCUUGCUUGAGUGUUUAGCCUAAGUUAACUUGUACUUCCAACUGCUUGCUAACUGAAUGCAACUUUUGAAUAUUCAUUGUGCUAAAGUAGACAGUAAAAGUAACUUUACUUGGCAUCGCUGCAGCUGAGCAAGGAGCUGAAGAAGCAGGACGAGAAGCUGAGGAUCCUGGAGAAGCAUCUUGGGCAGAAGGUUGCUUACUUACCUAGCUCAUCCAGUUUGAACAUAAAAUCAAGUACCUCUAUUUUCUUUCUUUCCCAGUUAUCUGAUUUUGGUCAAUUUUUUGGCGGUGGUGAUUGCAUUGCUCCAUUCUUGAUGUGCUUCUGAUUCUUGCAGGGCCAUUCCAUGUAUGCUGAAAUUCCUGGUUCUGAAGCUGCAAAGUUCAAGAAGCUGAUCAAAGAACACAAUGUGUAUGCACUGAGAAAGUUUCUGGUUGGUCCUAACAAGCAGGCGUACAGGCCAUUCCUUGGCCAGUACAUGAUCAGGUUCACCCCUUGGACUGUUGUUGAACAGAAGGCUGAUGUUUCUGAUGAUUUUCCAAAGCAUGUGUACAGCUUAACGCCUUUCUCCAAUCUUUCAACUCGUGUUGGGUCGCAGGAGUGCUUCAUAGGUACGACAUGGUAUGCAGUGCACAUAUAAAUAUGGAUAUAAAUUGUGCGCCGAAUGAAGUAAUUUUCCUUGUCUUCUGCAGAUGUGUUGGCCCAGGUCGUUGGUGUUUCCAAAGUAGCCUAUGUUCGGUUAUCGUCUAACACAUCUGACACUGCGAAAAGGGUUAUUGCGCUGAAAGAUGCCAGGUGCAAGCCUUGGUCCUAUUAUGCUGUUUUCGGAAAUAUCCUGUUUGGAGCCUAUUUUUACUGGUUUUCACGUUGUGUGUUUUGCAGGAACGUAGAGAUUAAACUUGUGUUGUGGGGUGAAAGGGCUGACGAAUUUGAUUCUCAGCUGGUUUACGAUGCAGGGCAGGAGUCGGCUGUGGUUGGUGUUUUACAACAGUGAGUUUCUUAUUUGUUAUACGCACGUGUUUUCUGAGCCGCUCACUGAUGUGACGAUGAAAUUUAUUCCGUUCAGGCGAGGAGACUUUGAGUGGUGGCUCUCCUUGCAGGUGGUAUCUGAAUGAAUAUCUUCCUGAGAUAGAUUCCUUUUUUGAGAGGUAAGCAUGUGGGUGGUCUGUGCUUCUGUUCUAUUAAUUGUGUGCAUGGAAUAGUGUUGGGAAUUUCGGCCUGUUCGAAACAAUGUCGAGUCAGGGGUCAUGGUUUUUCUGUCUUGCUGAGAAUGCCGAAAUACUAUAUUGCAGCUCAUAAUCUAUGUGUCUCGUUGUCUUAGAAGCAGACAAAAAAAUGAAUUUAAUUAGAGGGUGCUUAUUUUUUUUACGGAGUAUGGUUCUUUGUGCUUGUACAUACAGUUGAAUUCGUCUGGAGAAACCGAGUUAAAGCUUCUGGAUCACCCUUCCUCGAAGGAUAAAUUUAUUAACAAAGUUCGCUGCCUUCUGCAGGAUUUAGCUAUGUAGGCUAGGGGGCUGUCCCCUGUUAUUAUUUUAAUACAAUACUUCAAUUUUGAUAGAUAUUAGAAAUGGAAUAAGAGAUAAUGACUGCUCAAAGACUCGCUUGUUUCUGCAAGUCGUCUAUUUCCUUGUUAGCGAUAGUAUGAUCAGGCUCCCGUCUUUUGAACUCCGACUGGAAGAAACAAUAGUGUCAAAACUUUGUUACAAGACUUAACAGCCUGUGGUGCAUGCAUACCUUUAGAUUUCUUAUUGUAUUUUCAAAAUUAUCAUGCUCCAACAAUGCCUGCUGCAAUUUUUGAUCCAUUAGAGCAUAAGCUUCAACCAUCCUCUCAUGUUCAGCUGAGGUAAGGAAACAAUAAAUAAGCUUCAAGGGUGAGACCAAAACUCCGAAUAUUUAAGCAUGCAUAACAAAACAAGCAUGAUAUGCAUAUAUUUAACUAAUGUGCUAUAACUGAAGGGGCUAAGAAGGUUCACCAGAAAAAUUACCUCGUUCAUCUAAAAUAAGCUCAGCUUUCUCUUCUAUUUCAUGCAAGACCUAUUGUACAGAAGAUAAUUCAAUAUUACUCCAAUAACAGGCGCAAUAAAGAAUAGGAUGUACUACAAAGAAGCAAAAUAAUUAAUUUCUGCUUUAUUUUUUGGAGAAUUAAAUGGUAGUCAAAUCUACAAAAGAAGUAAAGUAACUAAAUAAUAGUAGUGGAGUUGUCAUCAAAAGUACUUGCUAUGUUCAAAAAAUUAUAUGUAUUUCAAAACUGCAGUGCAGCACAACCUUAGACUAUGGCCAAAGAUAUAUAAGGUCUGUUUAGAUUGGUUUUGGACCUAGAGUUUGUUCCCCUAGAGGUGUCUUUCGACGACUUCUAAAUAGAAUUUUGUGUCACCCUGUCCGUUAGUUGAGUAGCAGGCCAGCAGUGCUCUGCUCCCUGCCAUAUAUUUUCAAAGAAAAAAUGGUUUUGGGCUUCAUACUACCAUAUUAGCCGUUAAACAUACUUUCAUAUGACAACAAUAUAUAAAUGUUUGCACUUGAUAUAAAAUAGAAGGACUAUGAUAAUGAUAUAUGUUCCGAGUCAUACCUAUGUCCAAAAUAUUGCCUAUAUUGUUAACAGAGGAAACAAUAUGUCGGUGUCAAAUGACAUCUAUUUGAAAACAAAGGGAGCAGCUGAGAGAUGCUUGUACCAAAUAUCAUCUGCUUUUCAAAUGUGUCUAACUUACACGUGAGGAUCAAAAUAUAUGCAAAAGGAAUAAAAUGAUGAUGCAUAUUUUACAGUUUAAAAAUAAAAUAUGUUUGAUUUCCACAGCAAAAUCACUAAGGCUCAAAAGGUCUGCCCUAAAAUGCUUGGCCCCUUUAUGCUUUGCUUGCGCUUUGGGAAGGGCCUCUCAUCUGAUUGGUUUCCCAACUUAUUUGUUUGUGGCAGUCUUUUCAUUCACCUGUAUUGUUCUACCUUUUCUACAUUAUUAUUUAAUUUGUGUCUGCUACUAUUCUGUCAAAAAAACACCUUACGAACAAUGGCCAGUUUCUUCUUUUCUCGCUGGCCUGCACAUGAAGCAUCUGCUUCUGGCCUGCACAUGAAGCAUCUCCCAAAUCAAUAGAGCAUCAUGUCAUUUGAGUGAUUUCAUGCACUGUUUACCCUUUUCUUCCUUGGGUCUGUUGAGAAUUAGCUUCACAUUUUUCCUGCAUCUAAUACUUCCCCGUUUGCUCUUUGAGGUAUGCCUGUGCUUAGGUUUACAAAUGAAAGCAUGAGGAUUGUUAUGGUAAUUGUUAUUGGAGUGGUCUUGGGAUUCUUCAUUGGGAUUUCGUUCCCAUCAGUGAGCAUAACUAAUUUAUCAGCGUAACUGCACUAUUUGAAUUGAUUGAAUUGAGUAACUUAUCUAUGUUUGGAAUGUGUCAGUUACACUUCCCAUGCAUCCAGCUUUGUUUCAUAUGUAGAAGAAGGGAACUCAGCGCUCACAAUCCAAGCUUUACUUAAUCCUGCCUGGACUUCUGCCAGAAAUGCAAGGAAUAACAAUUUCGAACCAAACUCAAACGGUACUUUGAAGAUUUGUUCUAUUGACUUGAUUAUUUUUCACAGAGUGACAGACUACUAUAGUACUAUACUAUGGUCACUGUUUACCUCUGAUAUUUUUUUCACUAAAAAAUGAUUUUCUGUAUUAAUGCAGAAUCAUGUCCCAACGAACCCAAAGGGUGCAGAGAGGCUAGCACCAGGCAUUGUUGUGCCAGAUACUGACUUCCAUUUGCGCAGGUUGUGGGGAGACCCAAGUGAGGUACAUUUUCUUAUGCAGUAUGCUCAUAUCACCUAACUGAUGUUCUGAAUCCCCAAAAUCUCAUGUCUUUGUCAACUAUUUAGAGUUGCAAGCAUUUAGGCCCUCUAUUUACGCUUGUUCUUUAAUAUUUCAUUUCCCUUUUCCAAAAAACUGUGCUCUGAAAUUGGAAUUAAUGCUAAUAUUAUUACUCCACUAUUCAAUAAAUAUUUAGUAACUUCACAUGUUAAAAUUUGAAGACCUAAAUUCUACAGCCUUCUGAAGUAUGUUCUGAUGUAUUUGCCAUUCCUUUGAUAAUUCAGUUUGAAAUGUAUUUUCUUCUAAACGCUUGUUUAUGCAUACCUAGGUGGUAUGCCAAAAGGUUCUUGCAUCCUGAUAUUGUGGCAGCUUACGAGUACAUAUUCAUCUGGGAUGAGGACCUUGGCGUGGAUCAUCUCAAUGCAGAGGAGUAUGCUUCCACCUUCGUUUCUCCGAUCAAUGUUUCUUUGUAUGAUUAACUGACAUAUGCUUGUUGAUGUUGGAUUACAGGUACAACAAACUUGUUAAGAAAUACGGUCUGGAUAUCUCCCAAACUGGUUUAGAUCCUGACUGUGGAUUAACUUGGCAGAUGACAAAAAUAAGAGGUGAGCAUGAGGUCCACAAGUAGUGGAGCAGUUUUAAUCCAAAGCAAUGUUGUUUGCUAUUGACUUUUUUAAUCUAACUUUUUAUUGGCUGCGACGGUUGACCUAGCUAACUUGGGUUGCCAUUUUUUUGCAGGAACACAGAGGAGAGGCUAGGCUGGUGCGCAGAUCCUCAUCUUCCGCCCUGUGUUGCGUAUGUGCUUAUUAUCCUCAACUCCUUGUCAAUAAGCAUGAUGUACUAUUGCAUAUAGAUCUAACUGGUGUAUCCUUGAUUGCUACAUGAAUUUUCCCACAGUGUAUAGGUUUGUCGAAAUAAUGGCUCCAGUCUUCUCUUGAGACGUGUGGCGGUGCAUAUGGCACAUGAUUUAGGUAUCUACAUUUCACAAACCUGAACAGCUUGCAAGUCAAUAAAGAAUCCUCAAGCGAAAGUUUUGUGAAAUUCGUUUGUUACUACAUCAAUCCAUUUUUAUUUCUUAGGGAGUGAGUGUGCGUGCGUGUUUGUGGGCGUCUGCGUCUGUAUUGUGUUUUCUAAAAUAAAAAAUCCAUUUUUAUUUCUUAUUUGUUUUGUUGAAGAACAACAACUUAUUAUCUGGAAUUUUACCUGAUUCACUAGCCAUAGUUAAUGGCCUUGUUACCGUAUGUUCUGUCAAUAUCUUUAUAGUUAUGUCUGUUUUCCUCUCCUUCGUGUACUGUAAUAAAAUAUACCUUUGUAGCAGAAAAGAAUGUUAAUUUUUUGUCCUAAAAUAUACCUUUGUAGCAGAAAAGAAUGGUAACAAAGAAUUAACCUUGCAUUUGGAAAAUCCAUGCCACCGUUCUCUAUUAUUUGUCCUAAAAAUGCUGGUCAUCUUAGUUUGCGCAAAAAUACACUGACAUGCUAUUAUUAUGACAUAUCAAACCUGCCGGCAAGGCGGUAACUUGAUUCACUUUUGGUAUUUCAAUCGUUUUAUUAUUAUUUAGAGUAUCUCUUGCAUGUUAACAUUAGAAGAUCGACCGGUCUUGACAAUUGAAAUUAUUGCAACUCACUCACAAUGUUUUUUUUGCCCGCAAUGCUAAUUAGUGCAUUGUUUUUAGUUUUGUUCCUCAAAUACCUAACCUGCUAUUUCUGCCUUUCAUCAUUAGGUAAUUCUCCGUUUCAAUAGUUGCAUGUUAAAGUGCUAUUAAAUCAAGCGGAGAUCAUUUUCAGCAGCUAGGUGUAGUUCUCAGGUGACCAAUUGUUUAAGUUUUGUUCAUCAUUUAUUUUUAACUUGGUUGUUAUUUGCAUCUAAUAGAGGUGUAGUUCGCGGCAGUUUGAGGUAGGUGCUCUUCUGGAUUAUCAGCUUUUUCGAACAGAUGGUUAGGUUUUAUUACUCGGCAAGAGAUUACAUUCUUAUUUCUGCUCAUUUGUGUGUUCUUAUAACCUAACGAUAUCUAACCAAUAUCUUACAAACUACAAAGAUCUAAGCCAUGACAUGUCUUAUAUAAAUUGUGGGGAUCAAGACACCAAGUUGCCUAAAAUUCGAGAAGCUCAAGAUGCCUUAUAUCUUUGCUGGACAUACCUUGUUGCUGAUCGAGAACGAGUACAGGAGGGCCAAUCCGAAUGAAAGGCCGUUGAAAUGAGCACUUUCUCCAUCUUAGCAGCCCCUUCAUCUCUCUGCAGAAGAUGCCAUUGAAAUGAGCACUUUCUCCAUCUUAGCAGCCCCUUCAUCUCUCUGCACCACAUCGUAGAUUACUCACAUGGCAGAAGGGAUAGAAGACGUCCGCGGCUGAUGGAUUGAUCGGAGGAGCCGGCCAUGGAUCAAGAGAAAUCAAAGGCAGCCCUGAAAUUCUCCCGUAUGGUCGACUGCAGCCGCAUCCUGCUCUGGCCCUGUCGGGUGGCCACGCUUUGUCCCACGUCCGCGGCCUGCUCCGGCCUUGCCCUGCUCCGCGGCGCCGCGAGGCCUCGCCUUGCUCCGCCGCGCCCGCCUUCCAACCCACCGGGCGGGCGCACCCUGCCCUACCCCGCCGCCUCGCCUUGCUCCCCCGCGCAAGCCUCCAACCCGCCGGGCGGCCGCGCCCUGCCCUGCUCCGCCGCCUUGGCCUGCUCCGGUGCGCCAGAAAGAUCUUCUCCACCGCCUCGCCUUGCUCCGCCGCCGCGAUUUGGGGCUGUGCCUGCUCCGCCAAUGGGGAUCUCGGGAUUUAGAGAGGAGGAGCAGAGAGAGAGAGAGCCGUCGAGAGGAGAGAAUGGGAGAGAGCAAGGAAAGGGGGAACACCCCGAUCGAGAGACAGAGGUGGAUCGGACGGCCAGAGAAACGUCGAUUUAGAAUGUCCGUUUUUUCUUUAGUUGGGCCUUAUACAACAUGGGCUUUUCUCAGGCCCCGUCUGGCCUUAACGGGCCCGGGCCGGCUCGGUCGGGCUCGGUGCCACGCCUGGUCCUGGAGGAGGACAUUUCGGGCUGGUCCGUCCUGGCACAUAUAUUGGCGGGCUUCAGCGGGCCGCGCCCGGGCCUGGCCAUUUUAUCUUUAGACGGGCCCGUGCCGGUCCGUUGGCCACCUAUAUCCGUGAGGCGCUGCAGUUGGUGGAAAUUACCCACGCUGCCACUCCCUUAGUCCCUUACCAGUUCGCCACGGCAGAAAAAGAAAAAGAAAAAAAACCUAAGUGUUUAAAAGUGCCUAUGCACUUCCUGUCGUUGUCGGGCGCACACGCUACAUCGCCGUCCGAUGCGUUGAUGGGCAAGUAGACCGUGCGAUUGAAUCCUUGCCGCAGCGCUGUUUUUCGGACACGACUGGACGGUGUAGGUACACGUUUUGGGGCGGGGCCCAGCUGUCGGCGUAAUUAUUUGCCUCAUCUCUCUCUUCCUUUCCCCACAUCGCUUUCCCCCUCGAUUUCUCUCCUCCGUGCAGGCAUUUCUUCGGUGGCGAUUUCGGAGACGAUGGAUUUUAAUUUCAAUGGCGAGCGGCGCCGCUGCGUCGAACGAGAAGCUGCAUGCGAGACGGCGAGAGGCGCGCAUCGUGGGGUACCAAUAGCGGCGUUCGUGGCCGGCGUCCUUUUUCUGCGUGGCGACGAAGGGAGCUCACCGGUGAGUUCGUUAGGGCUGGGGUCGGGCGGGGGUUAAUUGCAUGUUGCGUGGGGAAGUCGAUGGCGUGUCCUGUUGUGUUCUUGAGAAGAGUUUGGGGAUUUUAGUGUCGCAUCGAGCCCGACGGGACGGAUCGAGUAGAGUGGGGGCUGAGUUCGAGCAUGUUUACCUAAGCAAUUUCCAGAUCAUUCCUGUGCAAAUCCCGCAGCGUUCGUGCCGUUUUUGUAGCUCCUCGGUUGAAUCUAGGCGUCGGCGAUUUUUGUCCUUAUUUUUAGGCUGGUGGGUUUCGAACACCUUGUGGGCGGUGGAGCUCAGCGCGGUGUAGAAGCCAGCAAGUGUCGUGAAUGGCGGGCAACGGCGAGGUCGCUGCGGUGGAGCUCGAGGAGGCGCCAGGCGACGACCAGCUCGGCGCUGUGGAGGAGCCGACCACUGCUCGAUGUGCCCGUGGUGGAGGAGCCGGCCACAGCUCUCCUGGUGUCCGGCAGCGGGAGGAGAUGAGGAAGGGGGAUGACGGCGGGGCUGCAGGAAGGGAGGAGAGGGGAGGGUCGAGUGAGUUGUUGUACCAAAUUAGGCCAAAUCAACUUUGUUUGAACCAUGAGUUACUAGACCAAGUGUGUAAUUAGUUGCUUUUCGGCACUCAACUAUUCAGGUAAAAGUUGCAUCCCUCAUCCCAAAUUUUGGACUACAAGUCGCUACACUAGCUAACCUUUUUUCCAGAUUUGCUUGUAGUUUGUUUUUUCUUAGCUUUUUAUGAAGUUCUCACUAGAAAUUGCAUUAGAUUGUCAAUUUUAUGAAGCAGCUUCUUUUAGUCAUUGAGAUUCAGUUGAUUCAGUUAAAGUAAAAUUUGCGUUUUUGUUUAAUUUUUUUGAGUAAAAGUUGCAUCAUAUUCAGGGUCGACAACGUGUUGCAGGUUUGGAGUUUUUGCUCCCCCCACACUCCCUCAAGUUGCUUUUCUGUAAAUUCCUUAACUAAUCAUUUUUGCUAAUUUGUGUUUGCACUGUCUAUUUGUUUCGAGGUGCCCGAAAAUACUGAUAUCCAAUGCAGGCAUCCCAGAGGCAUAGGGCAAGAGGUGAUCCUCUGGUUUUUCAAAAAAAAAAAAGACUCAACCCAUGCGUGCACGGUUUUCAACAUACUAAAUCAUUCUAUGCCCUAUAUAGCCCCUGUAAGUGCCUCGUUUUGAUACAGACGGCGUACGCUAAUAUAGUUGUAGUUGCAUGCCUUAGCUAAUAUAGGGGAGGAGAUGGGGGCUUUUUUGCCAAUGCAACUUUUAUUUGCUUAUCUAUAUGUCUAGAUUUAGGUCAUGUUUGUCGGGUUUUUUUCUUAAGCAAUAUACCUGCCCACGCGCCCUCCCCUAUAGUUGCUUUUUAAUCUUAGCUAAUGUAGUUUCUUUUAAUUGUUUUAGUCGCUCACGCACCGCCUUAUAAUUGCUUCUUUUAAUAUAGCUGGCAGUAUGCUAACAUAGUUGGCAUGCUUCAGCUAAUGUUUGUCGCUUUUUUUAAAGCAACUUUAUGUUUUUUGUUAUUUCUUAGGACCCUUCUUUUUUAAUAAUUAGUUUGCUUACCUGUAUGUUGAGAUUUAGGUUGUCGCUUUUUCUUGUCAAAAUAAUUGCUCUCACACCCAUCCCCUAUAUAGUUACCUUUUACCAACUUAACUAAUGUAGUUGCUUUUAAUUACCCUUUAAUUACUUAGUCGCCCACACACCACCUUUUAAGCCACCUUUUAAGUUGCUUCUGUUUUUUUUUUGCCUAGGCAUGGUGCCGAUAUGAAUUAUGAAAUCGGUUGCUUUAUGAUCAUUUAGUUGCUUCCUCAUAAUUCAUCUAGUGUCUGCAACUUUAUUUUAGGUUAUUGGUUUCUUCAUAAACUCUUUCCCUAAUUAGUUGCUUACUUGUAUGUUGAGAGUCCGUUGAGAUUUUAGGUUGUCGCCUUGUCUUGUCAAUAUAGUUGCUUCACACCCCACCCACUAUAUAGUUGCUUUUUCCAACUUAACUAAUGUAGUUUUUAAUUACUUAGCUGCUCACACACCACAUUCUAAGUUGCUUCUGUUUUUUUUUGCCUAAGCAUGGUGCCUGUAUGAAAUCGGUUGCUUUAUGAUCAUUUAGUUGCUUCAUUAGAAUUCAUCUAGUGCGUGAAACUUUAUUUUAGGUUAUUGGUUUCUUCAGAAACUCUUUCCCUAAUUAGCUGCUUACCUAUAUGUUCAGAUUUUAGAUUUUUUUUUUCUUUUCCUAUCAAUACAAUUUGCUUCACACCCCGCCCUGCAGUUUAAACUUCGCUAAUUAUAGGUGCAUCUGAUUGAAUUAUGGUUCACGUUGCAACUAUCCUUAUUUAGCAAAUCUACUCACAUUUAUGUGUUGUUUUUGUAAAUAUACAAAUCAAAUUGCUUACACAUUGACUAAUAUUCACAAACUUGAUUUUUUUAAAUUCUUUCUUACAAUCUGACUUAUUCUUGCAACUAUGCCUAUACAAACUUGCUUACAUCUGACUUAUUCUUGCAACUAUACCUAAACAAUUUGCUUACAUUAUAGUUUAUUCCUAGUUUAUUUGUUGCAAACUAGAAAUGGCGAGUUGCUAAUGUACCAGCUAAGUCUUGCUACUUUACUUUUCAGCAAUUUUUUCUUACGUUCCAUUGUUAUUUCUGCAAUUAUACCUGCACAACCUGCUUACAAUCUGACUUACUAUUGCAACUGUACCUAUACAAACUUACUUAAAUAUGGGUUAUUUUUGUAACUAUACCUAUGUAAACUUGAUUAUAUCUGACUUAUUCUUGCGACUAUAUCUAAACAAUUUGCUUUCCUUAUAGUUUAGUCCUGGUUUAAUUGUUGCAAACUAGACAAGGCAAAUUUCUAAUAUAAUAGCUAAGUUUGCAACUUUACUUUUCAGUAAGUUCUCCUUACAUUCCACUAUUAUUUCCGCAACUAUACAUACACAAUUGCUUACAGUCUGACUUAUUCUGGCAACUUUACACAUACAAACUUACUUAAAUCUGGGUUAUUUUGGAACUAUACCUGUAUAAACUUGCUUAUAUCUGACUUAUUCUUGCUGCUAUACAUAAACAAUUUGCUUACAUUAUAGUUUAUUCCUAGUUUAUUUGUUGCAAACUAGACAAGUUAAAUUGCUAAUAUACUAGCUAAGUCUCGUGACUUUACUUUUCAACAAGUUCUCCUCACAUUCCACUGUUGUUUCCGCAACUAUACCUACACAAACUUGCACACAUUUGAGAGUAUUAUUGCGACUACACAGUACAGAAAUUGCUUAAAUCCUGGUUUACCCGUCAAUAUAGCAAAUGCAAAUUUGCUAAACUUACUUGCUAAACCAGGCGUUGUUUACUUGCAACUAUGCCCUUUAACAAGUUGCAUUGACAGCGGUAUCAGUUGCAACUACACCUUCUUUUAGCAUCUUUGAUUUCAUCAUGGAUACCUACGCAAAGUGUUAAUGAGCUCUAAUUGCAGAAAACCAACCGUACAUUUUUUGCCUAUAAGGAUUUUUAUACUCAAUUGUUCCUAAUGUUUUUUCCAAUAACAAAAUUGAAUGCAUGUAUUCGUCCAGGGGGUCGAAUUUGCAAACAACCUCCGGGUUGCAAUUUAUUCACGGAACAAAGGCUUUCAACUGCACACUAACAAUUGUACCUUAAAAUACACAGGUUACAACGAGACGAAGACCUUCAGAUAUGUACAUACCAGGAGGUGUGUGUGUGUUGGGGGGGGGGGGGGGGGGGGUGUUGGUGCAUUAGAUAAUGAGGAGCAGAAGACCUCAAGAACUAAUGAAUCUUGGACGAAUAUAUAUGUUUCAACUUACCUAGUUCGAAGCUUCAAAGUUUGUUGUGAUUGUUUUGUUCUAUGCCUAUAAAAUUGCAUACUAUGUACAGGGGUAUGAAAUCUGGUCUGAACAUAUCUAGACCUACCAAGAUUGAAGUUGUAUAUUGCAUUCCUAUGUUGAUAAACUGAUCUAUUAAGCCUUCUUUUCCACUGUGUGCCUGCGAGUUCUUUUGAUUCUGAACUACAAGAUGCUUUCUUUUUCCCACAGAGGAUGCAGUAGAGAAGGUUGCGUAGUCUGCCAGCAAGUUUUUCUUGCUCGAGGGGUUGGUUCCCGAUGGGUUUCAGCGCGUCGGCAUGCGUCCAGCGAAAAAGUGCGGGAGGCGGCAGGGGCGGGGGUAAGUGGUGGGUAGACGACGCCCUAGAAACAACUGGCGGGGGGACCAGGAUACUAAUCGGGACAGAGGGGUUUUUCUAAUUAGUCGUGCACCCUGGGCUACCAAAAAGUAACCGUGCACACCCUAGUCCCGUCCGAAAAGAAUGUUAGGAUAAUCCUGAGCAUGAGUCUAGAUAGGCGCAUGUGUUUGUGUCCUAAUGGGAUUAGGAGUGUGUCCACGUGCGGUUAGUGUUCUUGUGUAUUUAGGAUUAGAGUCCGAGUCCUAAUUUUGUUAUGCAUCCGUAUAGGAUACUAGUCGGAGUUGAACUAGGAGUUCAUGUUCUGAUAGGUUUGUUCCUUGGUUGUCAUGUAAUACAUGGGUAGGCAGUUUGUACCGGGGGAUUUAAAAAGAAAUAAAAAGAUUAAUAGAGGUCCUUGUCAAAUAAUCCGGUGAUCCUUGGUCAAACCCAACAAAGAAAUCCCUCUCUCUUUCGCCCCGACAGAACUUGGGGCGAUUGCGGGCAAGGAAACCCUGGCGUCCCGCCGCCGCCGCCACAUCGUUGCCGCCAAAGCCUCCUCGUUCUCCGCCGCCAAGUUCUUCUCGUUCUCCUCCACCAGAGGCUGCGGCUGCGCCGACCCACCAUCUGCAGAUCCAUGCCGCGGCCGCCCUCCAUCGUUUCCUUCCGGCCGGACGCCCUGGCACCCUCCCCGCGCCCCGUCUUCCCCGAAUGGGUCUUGCUCGACAAGACCGGUCUUAUCUCCGUCGACCGGAACGAGACCACGGCCGAGUGCACGACGAGCGAGGGCCAACCCGUGGCGGUGUCCUUUCUGGCUCGUCGACGCGCCGGAUGUCUCCUCUUUCUCCGUCGACUGCCCCGGCAUCCCAGAGAAAGACUUGCACUCCCACCCGCCCUUCAUCAUCUGCGCCGAGGGACCCUUCGUCCUCUUCUGCGUCGUCCUCGACGUCCCUAGUUGGCGCUCUUUCCACCUCUUCCUCUACACAGCUUCUGAGGAGCCGUCACUCCAGCUGCUUCCGGAACCUGCCGAUCACGUGGUUGAGGACUUCGAAAACCAGUACUUUGCAAUCUUGCCCUCAAGCGGCGACCACCACCGUGACUAUGCUGUGGCUUUCCUUGAGUGGGAGUGGCAGUCGGCUGAUAUUGCGUACCCGCAGUACUAUGCUUACGUAUUCUCGUCAAAGAAACGGUCAUGGACCAGGAAGAAGGUUCUGCUGAACCUGCACAAGUCUGAAGAAGCUCUAUUUGUUGAUGCAUAUGACAUCACCAAGCAGAUGGCUGUCGGAAGCACCUCACUGGCCUGGGUUGAUUUGAUGCGUGGGGUUAUUCUUCUCUCUAACGUGUUUGACCAGCAGCCAGUCAUCAAGUAUAUCCCGUUCCCCGCGUCAAGGGUCCGCAUUCCUGACGACGAUAGCCGCACCCCUUCCAUUGCUGUUGAGUAUGUUUGUGAUGUCAUUUGCUGCAAGGAACUCAUCAAGUUUGUUGAGAUAGAUUGCGAUGAGUGCAGCAACGGCAGCACUUGGAAAGCAAUCACAUGGAGCAGGAAAGUCUCGUGGGACAAUUGGCGCAAGCUUUACACGGUUGAUGUUGAUGACAUCUCAAUUGAUUCGAGCUAUGCAGCUUUGUUGCCAGAACUGCUAGACAAAAAUACCAAUCAACUUAAGCUGAAGAACCUGAUUUGCCUUGUCCCUACCUUGAGCAUGCAAGAUGAUAAUCUUCUUUACAUGAUGUCCAAGGUGAAGUUUGAAGAAGGGACAUCUUGGAUCAUUGCAGUUGACAUGGAACAUGUGGCUGUGAAGGCAGUAGCCCCGGUUUCUACCAAAACGUCCUGCACUUUCCCCAUGUACUUCCCAUGUUCCUUCCCCAAGUACCUCAACUACAUGACACCAGGUAUGGUAAUUUCACCUUCUUUUUCUCUCCUUGUGUCAUGUGAGUUAGCCAGCAGUAUACUAUGUUAACUUUUGGACCCUUGGUUGUCUGUUUGUUACGGAUGUACCUUUCAGUAUCAACGCUGUUGCCAUUGGAUUGUUAGCUGUUUGUCAAUCUUCAUACAUGUUUCUUAUGUUAGAAAUUGGCUUGAGGCUGCAGCCAUGAUCAAACAAUGUGCUAGCAGUAUGUGCCUUUGCUCUAAAAAGUCCCCGCCCACACAAGUAGGCAGCCAGCAUGCUCAGUUACCAGUUCCGUAACCUCCAUGUUAUAUAGAUUCACGUUAUGGUUAGGGGCAAGUACGCAAGAUAAUAUAGCUGCUGAUAUUGUCUGACAGCCAUGGUGAAUCAUGGGGUCAUUUCCUGACUUUUGUAGGAUGGUCUCGUACCUAAUUAACUUAUUUUGCUAACUUAUUUUAUUAUUAGAACAGCGCUUUGUGAAUUGAGGCGGUAAUGAACUGACUCAUACUAUUCCUCUAACUAAAUAAACAGAAAAAAUAGCAGGGAACUGUUGAUGCUAAUUCAAAUCUAGUCCUCAAAUCAAAUUAAAGUUUCAACGAAUAGACAUGUUUAUCCUCAGGUGGCAUUUGGACCACAAAGUACCAAAAUACAAGUGGCUCUCUCGGAAAAUGCAUCAACUGUAAUGAAAUUGCCACUCCAGACAUCCAAGCCUCUUGUAACAAUGUCUAUUUGUAAGCAACGUCCUUUUGUUACCAUGUUGUGGGUCUUUCAUGCCAUGUCUGGUGGACUAACCUCCGCAUAACCAGACCCAAUUUUACCACUGUCGGAUGGUGUUGGCUGAAUUGGUCCAUGAUCUGUUCAUGACCCCCCCCCCCCCAAGUUAUAUGCUUUUCUUUCCUUGUAUUUGUACCUAAUUCUUCUGUCUCAUUUUUUUUUUUGCGAGGAGCAGAAAUGGUAAAUCCAGCUAUUGUCCCUCAAGUGCCUCAGCAGAAGAAGAGGAGGAGGGGGAGUAAGAAGAAGAAGAAGAAGAAUCCAGCGGAGGUUCUGGAUGACCGAUUUCGGUUGUAUUUCCAUUUCAUCCUCGGCAUAUUGACAGCAGCGUCCUUCGCAGCAGUAGUGGCGUAUCGUCUCAUCUCGAUGUCUUAGAGUCGUUAGCUUUAUAUCUUGUCUAACAAAAAUAUGACAAACAGAAGCAUGUUCUGGAACUUAUUGUUGGAUGGUGGUUAAUUUUGGUUGCGGUGGUUUAUGAACCUGAUCCUUGUUGCUGUGUGCGUGGUCGAGAACCUUUUUGUUGCAGUUUGCCUUCGUAAAGUUACUGGUGACAAGUUGGGAAAGUUUCUUCAUGAAUCAUGUUUUGCUCUAGAACCUAAGUUUGCUGAAGAAAGAUGCAUGUGAUUGUGUCUGUCAAAAUGUCUAGGUCCUGAUUUGUCUGCUGUAAGAGCACGACUGUUGGUCGCUGGUUGCACACCCUAGACCAGUCCACACGUUUUAUAUGAAUGAGACCUCUGCAAGAUAUCUGAAAUUUAUGUGCACCUCGCUGCUUGCUAGAGGCUUUGGUUUUGAACACUCAUAAGUUACUGGUUUAAAUCUGUUGAUUUUGCAACACCUCACUUGCUUUCACCUGUUCAAAGCAACAAACAAAAUUGGAGGAUUUAUCUGUGUUUUUUCUUGAUUUUAUUUCUGUAGUCCUGUAAGAACAUGGAGAAAUGUUUUCACAACACAUUCAGGUUGUGCAACUUCUCUUUGGGUGCAGAAACUAUCUUCCAUUGUAAAGAAGAAGAAUCCAUCCAGAUAAGUUUGCUGAAGAAAGAUGCAUGUGAUUGUGUCUGUCAAAAUGUCCAGGUCCUGAUUAAUAUCCCUCAUCGAUUACGUAAUGAGAUUGAUUAAAAUGAUGAAGGGUAAAGCCUAUGAGACAAUUUCCAUGUACUGUGACCCAGCUUCCUUCGUAACCUGUGGUCGGUUCUACACCUGAAAACAAGAAUUGGACUGAGCAAUGUACUCUGUGUAGUGUAACAUGUAUCUGCUCGAAACAUCAGGUAUUUGCCAAUAGUAGUAGCUGAUGCGCACAUUUAUGAUACCCUCAACGUCUAUCACCGGAACUGGAAGCUUGAUGAAAAGAUUUAGUGAUGUAAUCUGUAAUGAAGUGCCUCGGCAGCUUUUGAGUUUGUAUCUCCUGAUGUAACAGACUUGGUUUUUCCCUCUUCUAUAAUGAAUUGGCAGAACACCUGCCUUAGCCCGUCAAAAAAAAAAAUCUCCUCUUCAGUUAAUCAGUGUGGAAACGGUCCGUGCCAAGUGCAGAUCUCCUCUUGCAGCACUCAUACUCAUACAUCAGUGGCCCUGAAUAUUCAGGUAUGUGUUUGAUCAGUGGCAGAUGUCCUUUUGGAUCUAUAACGGCUAGUGCUGUUCACUAGUUGGUCGAUAACAUCUGUUUUAUCCUGGUGACUGACCGAUAAUCUUUUGGUCCAGCCUUGAAAAGUCGGAGCAAAACUGGGCCUCCAAGAUGAUCAUUAUUGAUCAGAAGGCUGGUUAAUUUGUGAGGUAAGGCUUGCAGUCAAUUGUACCUCCGACUUCCGACUUUACUUUCAUAAAUAAAAUGGAAUAAACUGUCAUGAUUUUCUAGGCUACCAUGCAGGAAACCGAUUAGGAUUAACAUGGACAGACAGAAACAUAUAGCUGGAUGAUUAAUCUGUAUUUUUAACUCAUCGCAACAACAUUUUUUGUUGUUCGGUAUGUAUGCUGCAUAUAGUUGCAGUUUUAGGACCCUACUGCUGAAUCUGUAUGGUGCACAGCUUUACUAUGCUAAAUUGUUCCAAAAUGUAAAAUAGCAAGUUUGCAGUGACGUCUGUUAAUAUCUUCUAUGCCCUGUAUAGAUUCAGUGAGGCUUGUCUCAUUUUGAAAGCAUGUUAACAUAUCUUGUUCAUUCAUUUUCAGCCUUCGAUUUUCCGCCAUUCCCUGAGACAAGUCACCUGGUGUUUUGGGUGGAUCUGUGGCGCUGAGUUCGUCUGAUCUAUGGUAGCCAUACUAGAAUCUUUGCUUGGGUCAUGUGCCAAGAAGCUGCAAGAAAUAGUUACUAAUGAGGCCAAACUAAUCCUUGUGGUGGAAGAAAAGCUCGAAGAACUGCUGCGACGAGUAGAACUAAUACAGCGUUGUAUUGCUGAUGCUGAGAAACAGAGGACAAAAGAUCUUUCAGUGAACACUUGGCUUGGUCAACUGAGAGAUGUUAUCUAUGAUGUUGAUGAGCUCUUGGACGUGGCUACUGCCUGACCAUCCUUCAUCAUCAUCAAGCAAAUCAGCUGCAUGUAAAACCUUUCAGUUUCUUCUUGCUUUUGUAACAUCGGGCCACGUCGUGAUGUUGCUGUUCUCAACAAGAUAGAAAACAUUUUGAAGGACAAGAUAUUUUUAACAUUCAACAGUAGUACACACAACCUACUGGAAGUUGUCCGACAUCCAAACUGAUAGGACGUUCCAACCUUGUUGAGCCCAACCUUGUCGGAAACGAGAUCAGACAUUCCAGCAGAAAGUUGGUGGACUUGGUGCUUGCACACAAGGAAAAUAAGUCCUACAAGCUUGCUAUUGUUGGAACUGUAGGAGUUGACAAGACAACACUAGCUCAGAAAAUAUACAAUGGCCAAAACAUAAAAGGAAGCUUCAACAUAUCACUACACCACGUAUCAAGUUCAGAGGCAUUCUGAAAAGCCUAAAAAAGGGUGCAAAAUGCCUUCAAAAGUCUUUGGAGGCUUUAUAAAAAAUGACAAGAAGUUGGGGAAGGGAAUGUCAUUUAAGGCAUUUUAAAAAAAAGCCUCCAAAGAUAAAUAAUCAAGGCGUUCUUAAAAAAGCCUUCGAUUACUAAGUGUGGCAAUCCUGAUAAUGACUCCAAAUGGCAAAUUGAGGCUUUAAAAAGAAAAACAGUGCCCGAAGGCACCAGCGUGCGUGACCUUUGCUAUCCAGUGACUCGUUAACGGCCGGAUUACUCGUAUCUCUUUUCUUUUCUAGGGAUAUAUAUGAUUAUUAUUAUUAACUAUUUAACUCAAUGUGCUUAGGUUAAUAGGAGCAUGGGUGUUUCUACCCCGUGUCCAAUAGAAUUCAAAACUAUUUGUUUAAAAUGAUAGGAUUGAAUAAUGAUGCUUUUGUGCAAAUGACCAAACCCCUCCUUGCCAAAUACUGCAUGUACUUGAUAGGUUCUGUUAUAACUCUUUGGUGAACUUACCAAUACAUUCAAUAUAUUGACCCCCCAGUGGCUGCGACGUUUAAAUGUUGCAGGUGAAGAGUGAGGUACAAAUUGUUAGGGUUGCGAGUUUACAUUUCAACAUGUUUCGACUGUGGAGUUGUUAUGGGACUCCUGUAUCUUCUUCCGCUGCAAGAUUUUAUUUUCUUCUGAGCUAACCCAUGUGGUUAUGCAAUAUGUAAGGUAUUAUUAAAUUAUGGAUCAAUGUGAUGUAAUAUACUUUUGACCUUUGUAUCUUGAUAUUACACCUUAAAACUGUGUGUGCUAACGAGUCGAUCCAGAGACUAGCACUGUAAGCACAGAUAUCGAACUCUAGUAAGGGGGAUGAUACUGUGCUAGUGCUUUUCAGUUUUCGCCAUGGAUGGAUGUAGCCCUUGGUUUGCUGGUUUGUUUUUCUUGAAUUCUCAACCUGUUCAUAUAUAGUAGCUAGAAAUUCAGACACGACUGGGGAAAUGCAGUAGCUAGAGGCCUAGAGGGUACUCUGAUGAUUGAGAGCACUUGGAGAAUGAUUUGGGGACAUUGAGGUUUCGUUUCCAUUUCAUCCUCGUGAGCGUAGAGUUCCAAGUUCUGCUGAGGCAUGGACUCGCCAUCUUGGCUCCACCAUCGAUCCGAAAUUACCACGCUACCCUUAUAGCCUGGUAUUUCACCUCGUUCGCUCGCAUGGAUGCGAUGGUACCGCAGGGCAACCUACCAUCGGCAUCUAAUGCUCUACAUCUAAAAUAGCAAAAACCAAAAGAGAUACAAAUGAAAAAGGUGUGCAGCAUGCUGUCCCGGCCGGUACAGUAUGAAGGAAGGCCACCAGAGGUAUGGCCAAAGACCCAUUGGUGGUGGUAUGUGAUCCUCUACGUUACCAAUUUCCUAUGAAUUCCCUGAUUUCCCACUGCCUCCUUUUCCUACAUAGACUUAUGUAGGACUAAAGUCAUGCGAUCUCAUACAUACGUACUGUAGUUCUUUGGAUCGAUAUAUUUAACUAUGGAAUACUCUUGACUCUAUUUAUAUAAACAUAACCACAAGUUGCAUAUGACCGGCACAAGCGAACCCCAGCAGGUCCAAUUAAUAGGCUGGCAUAUAUAUGGUCGGUAAGUAGGUUGCAAUGCAUGUGCUUGCAUCCGAACAGACAGGAGUGGAACAGACAUCAAAUUGAUGUCACCACAUCUUAGUCAUGCACACGUAGUGUUCAAACAAAUUCACAUUCUGGAAUUAAUCUACUUCUCCAAAGAUCCCCAAUUUUCCUUGGCUAGCUAGCUAGCCUUUUUCUCAGAAGCAACUAGCUUGGUCCUACUUUUACUUAAUUGCACCUGAACCAAUUGUAUUUUUAAUCUCCAUUAAUUUGUAUGUUCACAACUUUUUGUGGAGAUCAUGCUAACUUCACUUGGACAUACGUUUAAAAUAAACAUCUUGCAAGUGAUGGACCACUUUGAGAUAUUUUUGUGAUGGAGUGAACACUAUGUUGAUUGGGGGUGGAUGGGAAUUAUCACUUAACAAGAAAGGUAUUAAAUAAUUAAUUUGGUGAAGAAAAGGAGCUAUAAUUGAUUGGGGGUGGAUGGAAAUUGAGCAGCUGUUGCAUACAUGUGUUUGGGGUGAAAUCACUCCGUUCAACAUAAAGGUGCUCGGACGACAUACGUGCAUAUCAAUUGAGUGAACAUGAAAGCAUAGGAAACAAUCGAUGCUUCUCAAUACGAUGGCGUAGCUGGACUUUCAGCCACCGUUUGAGAGCCAGGUGGCGCACCAAGAUGGAAUAUUAUCACUGAUGAGAAAAUAUGGAACUCCGACGAUCUCCACGCCUACAUGGUUUUCUGCCAUUUCCAUAUGUCUCCUUUUCCUACAAAUACAUAUAGACUCAUGUAUGUGCAUACAUACAGUUCAUUCAUCCGAUCUCAUAUAUAUACGUAUAUAUGUACGGUUGUUGUUGCUACUGUACACAUUUACGGUUGCGUACUAACUUGGAUCGGACCUGUAUAUGUCUUCUUCUGCUUUUGUUGCUAUAGCCAACAUAUAUAUAGCUAGCUUGUGGAGAAACGCUACUUUUGAAAAAACCGGAAUCGGAGCCCUUCGCAGUCUGUUUAGUGCACUGGACCGGACGGGCCACCGGACCGUAAAAAACCUGCUGAACCGGCGGUUGGACCGGAAAAACCGGAACCGAAAGCCUUGCCGGUUUGAUCACCUGUUCCGUUUUCAAAACUAGGGGAGAAAUUCUUGGUGCGGUGGUGGAGUUGUGGUUGCAUGACUGCACCCAGCAGAAUUUAAAUCGUGAUGCUCGCAAAUAUGCUGUAGGGCUUCCCUUACCGUCUUUCAUAAAAAAAAAAGCUAUCUUGGGUACUACUCGAUCCGUAGUACAUGCUAGGAAUGGUGUUAACAUGAUUCAUAAAAAGAAGUCGUACGUCGUCCUUCUAACUUAUAAAAUGAAUAAAUUAUUUGCGGUCCCUUAUUUGUAAGAGACACUUGGCGGGUUUUUUAACGCAAGAGAGACACUUCUAGUUGAUUAUGUACGUUAUGGCUAUGGCUGGUUCGGUUUUCAAUGCUUCGAGUCACAGCCCAUCUGGAGCGUGUAAGAAAUACAAAAGCUCCAUCAUAUUCGGCCCAUCUCGCGGAAGAAAGUGGACUGGGCCGCGGCCCAGCCCAGCUCGAUUGGAGCCCGAAGUACACAAACACCGCCAACGCCGAGGCCUGAAGAGGCCUGUUCUUCAUCUUCCCCGGUCCCGAUCUAGCAUAUCAAAUCAGGACGAGCCGCCGCAGAGAGCGGGCUAGCUGUUUGGGUCUCUAUGGUGAAAGAUCUUGUGAUGAAACAUGUUUUGGCAGGUCAAUACGCUGCAUGUGCGUGCCAAGGCGUGGACUCGUCGUCACCAUCUUGACGCCACCAUCGAUUCAAAAUUACCACGCUACAUAUAAUUUUCUACAUCAAAAAUAGCAAAAACCAAAAGAGAUACAAACGAAAAAAUAGUGCAGCAUGCUAUCCCGGCCGUUACAAUAUGAGGGAGUGCCACCCAGGUAUGGCCAAAAACCCAUUGGCGGUGGUAUGUGAUCAUCUAUGCUACCAAUUUCCUCUGAAAUCCCUGAUUUCCCACUGCCUCCUUCUCCUACAUAUAAUUGCGCACAACUGAAGGCAUGUGACCUUAUACAUACGUACUGUAGUUUUCUUUUGGAUCGAUAUAUUUGGCUAUAUUUAUAUAUAUAAUAUAACCACAAGUUGCAUAUGGCCGGCACAAGCGAUCCAGGUCCAAUUAAUAUACUUACUGAUAGGCUGGCAUAUGGUUGGUAAGUAGGUUGCAAUGCAUGUGCUUGUAUCCAAGUGGAUAGGAGUGGAACAGACAUCAAAUUGAUGUCACCACACACCAUGUCUUGGUCAACAAAUUCACCUUCUGAAAAUAAUCUGCUCCUCCAAUGAUCCUCAAUUUUCCUUGGCUAGCAUUUUUCUCAGAAGCAAACUAGCUCGGUCCUAAUUUACUUAAUUGCACCUAAACCAAUUGUAUUUUUUUAAUCUCCAUUAGUUUGUAUGUUCACAACUUUUGUGGAGAGGGUACGGUAGUUAAAUACUAAGACAUGUCUCCAGUGUGGAUAGAUCGGGUCCUGCAAUCAUGGUGACUUCACUUGGACAUAUGUGGAAAAUAAACAUGUUGCAAGUGCUGGACCACUUUGAUCUUUUUUUUCUGUAAUAAAGAGAGUCAGUGAGUCACUCGUCGUUGAUUCUGUACAUUACGGCUCUUUGCGUGGUUUGGUUUUCAACACUUCGAGUCACAGCCCAUCUGGAGCAUGGAGGAAAUACAAAAGCUCCAUUCGGCCCAGAUAGCGGAAAAAGGUGGACUGGGCCGCGGGCCGGCCCAGUUCGAGUCGAGCCCGAGACGCCACGGGAGGAUGAGGCGCAUCGCCAUCUCUGAAGAAGAGACGCCCAAUGGCCACCGUCAAGCCAAGCGGCGGCAGCGGCAGACGAGGGAAUCAGUGCUCGAUGAGCCUUCUGUGAGAACAUACAGUUUCGAUCGAAUUCCCAUUGCCUCCUUUUCCUAAAUGCCACUGUGUCACACUUGCACAUACAGUUGAGAGACACACAUGCAUGCAACAUUAUUUUUACAUACAGUUGAUCGAUGUUGGCUGUAUAAACUUAUAUAGGCCACACAUUGCACAUGCAUGAUGCAUGGCCGGUAUGAGAGAAAGCAGCUCCAAUUAAUUGAAAUGUAUUUAUUACUGGCUUGGCUUGCAGUUGGCACGAAGAUAUAUACAGUGGAAUUUUCUCGCUGGUGAUCGUCUGGACAGGAUCCCCUCCUCCCUGUCCUCGCUCUCGUGGUGCGCCUAGCGCUGGUGGACGGUACAAACAAAUGAAAGAAAGGUGCGUCACACUAUUUGGGAUGGUACGUUAAGGAGCAAAGUGACUGAGUCGCACGGAAAAAGGCAAUGGUACAUGUUGCCCUGUCCUAGCCAAUUGCUCUGAAUUCCCCUGUUUCCUGCUGCCUCCUUUUCCUAGAUACACCUAUAUGCACGAUUUUUCUACACGCAUACAGUUUAUGCAUAUAUUUAAGUUGUGUUUUAGAUAUAUUUGGUUGUAUAUAUCAACUUAUAUGUUUAGCCUUCUCGCAAAACAAAACAUAUAUAGAUAGCCGCGCAUUGUCUCAUUGCAUAGGCCAGAAGGUACGAGAGAACAGAGAAAGCUCCAAUUAAUGUACUAUUGUUUACUAGCGCGGCUUGGCAUGGAGGAGGUUUCAAUGCAAGUCUUGUUAAUUAACAGAGAAAAAUAGUUUUCUGUCCUUCAGCUUUUAAAAGUGCACGCGGUCCUUCCUUCAACUUUCAAAAUCGGACGGACCAAAAAUGGGUUUUUUUUGUCCAUGUGGCAUGGUUUCUCCCCAAACCCACCACUGUGGAUGGUUCUCUAUCCCACCAUACUCGCCGACGGGCAUGAAGCCGCCGCUGCAUCCGAAGAGGGUGUCCUUGGACCCGUCGGUUUCCUAUCCCAUCUGCCUUGAGAUUGCGAACACGUCAUCUCUGUCGUCCAUCAUUUCAGGUCUAAAAAACAUUCAAGAUGACGGGUUCCAACUUUAUUGAAACCAUAGAUAGAUAGGUAAGUUCAGAGUAUUCAUUGUGCCGAAGUUACAGAAAAGAAGCACGCGACUUUACAGCUCAAGUAAAACGAUCGACGAGCAUCAAAUGGUGGAGCCCGAGCAAACACUGAACUCUUUUCCAGCACCUUGUGCACUGUGCAGCUUGGCCGAACUACUAACUCCCUUGAGGCCGAACUGGGCCUGGGCUCCACAGUCCUGGACAUGGUGUUGUGCAAGGAAGUAGAUAUUGGGCCAGCCCAAUAACUAGUUCGGCAACCUCUCUUCUCAUCGUUGCAGUUGUGCCCCUCGUUCGGUUUCAGAGUCGGUUUCCGUUCCGAGUUCCGACUAGUCAAAUUCUAUUCGCUCAAAAAAAAAAACUAGUCAAAUUCUAUUUAUUCCCAAAAGCGAUCUUGACCUCGAAUCCUCGAUCCUCAAAACAUGGCGCCGCUCGCCACCGAUUCCGUCCCCCGCUCCUCGCUGACCACGGUUCGCUCCGGCGGCGGCUUCCCGGAGCGGGUCUUGCUCGACAAGACGGGCCGCAUCGCCGCCGACCGGAACGCGACGACCGCGGAGGCCGAGACGAGCGAGGGGCGACCCGUGGCCGUCUCCUUCUGGCUCGUCGACGCGCCGGAGAUCUCCUCCUUCUCCGUCGACUGCCCCGGCCUCCCGGAGAAAGACUACCACCACGGCCUCCCGCCCUUCAUCAUCUGCGCCGAGGGGCGCUUCGUCCUCUUCUGCGUCGUCCUCAACGUCCCUCGCUGGAAGUCCUUCCACCUCUUCCUCUACACGGCUUCUUCUUCAGAGGAGCCGUCGCUGCACCUGCUCCCGGAACCUGCCGACUGCGUGGUUGAGCGCUUCGAGUACCAGAAUUUCGCCAUCUUGCCCUCCUCCGGCGGCGCCGACCGCCGGCGGGACUAUGCCGUGGCGUUCCUCGAUUGGAAGUGGAAUCCCCAUGAUAAUCCUUGCCCGCAGUAUUACGUCAACGUCUUCUCGUCCGAGACACGGUCGUGGACCAGGAGGAAGGCUCUGUUGGAUGUGCCGGAGUCUGAGAAGGCCCUUCUCCAAUUACAUGAGAUCACCAAGCAGAUCGCUGUCGGAACGAGUUCAUUGGCCUGGGUUGAUCUUGUGCGUGGCAUUAUCCUCCUCUCCGACCUGUUUGAGCAGCAGCCCGUCGUCAGACACAUCCCGUUCCCGGCGUCGAGGUUUUGCUUCGCUGAUACGGAUGAUGAUGGUCUCGAUUCCAAAAUUUCUGUCGAGUACUUUCGCGACGUCGCCUGCUGCGACGGUCUGAUCAAGUUUGUGGAGAUAGACUUCGAUGAUUACCCUGACUGCAGAAGCAAUGGCAGCGCUUGGAAAGCCACCACCUGGAACAUGGAGGUCUCUUGGAACGGUUGGCGCAAGCGUUGCACGGUUGAUGUCGACGGAAUCUCGGUUGACUCGAGCUAUUCGGCUAUUUUGCCCAUGCUGUCGGAUGAACACAGCGAGCAGCUGAAACUGAAGAAUCUUAUCUUCCUUGUCCCCACCCUGAGCAUGCAAGAUGAUGAUCUUCUUUACAUCAUGGCUAAGGUGGAUUAUGAAGACGACACAGCCUGGGUCAUUGCUGUUGACAUGAAACAUGCGUCUGUGGAGGCAUUAGCCCUGGUUACUGAACCGUCCUACUCUUCUCCGAUGUACUAUCCAUGCGCCUUCCCCAAGUAUCUCAGCGACAUGACACCAGGAACACCUAAGGAUUAUGAGAAGCCAGGCUACACAAACGAUUACAAAUUGCUCGGCUUGCCUCAGGCUAAGCUGCUCCCCCGCAACAAGAAGUCAGCAGGCCACGCAGAGCAAAAGUCUCACAAGAGGAAGCAAGAGAGAUUUGACAACCCCAGUAGCUCUCAUGGGGAUAAUAAGCAGGAGCUGGCACUGGGCGGGACUUGGAGCUCUAGAUGCCAACGACUAGCUGUGGUUCUACUGGAGCUGGAUCACCGGUGGGUGUACUUUGUUUGCUGGCUAGUACUGCCGAUGCUUUACAUCAUCUUCGGCUUAGUAAUACCGUUCAUUGCAAAGCUAAUUUGACUGCAAAUAUUGCUCCUGUCCCAACUAUAUGUAUGUAAAAAACAAGAGCAUACUAGUAUGAACUGCAGUAGUGGCUUGUUGUUAGAAGGUUCUUUUUAUGAAUCAUAUUUGGAGAUGGCACUAACAACAAUAUCUAUAGUUAAACCGCCUAUUUUCCCUUGAUGUAUUUAUUCUUAGCCUAUAUUGUAGUUGUUGGUUACUUCAGCAAAAAUAGUCUAAUUUCCGUUAUCCAUUAUGGCGUGUGUUAUGUUUCGUUAGGCUGCAUCACGCAAAUACAUUUCUCACGUCUCAUUAUAUUUGUACUUCUGGAAAAUGAAAACAUUUUAUCUCAAUUCUGAAGAUUAGUUGCGACUUUCUGAAGAGUUCUCUUAAGUUUAUACUUUCUCUGUUUUGUUCCCCAUGUGACUGAAAUUUUCUGGGCUGUUCUUAAGCAUCACGAUUGAUUGUGGGAAUGCAACUUUUUAAACUAGCUUUUGUCUAGUUUGUACCAUGCAUCUGGCUAAUCGAUUUUUAUGACUAUUUUCUGCAAGAGAUUAUAAAAUAAAAUAACAACACAUUGUUAUUUGUAUUUCAAUGCCAGUUAUUUCUGUAAACUAGUAGACAACUAUAUGACCACCGAGAAAUUAAUCAUCCUGUGUUGGAUGCUUAUCUUCCAUCUAUAUGGCCCUUCGCACUAAUUUGUAGCAGCAAUAAGAUUGUCUUCUGCAGAAAUAUAGACAUGCUUAUCUUUUAGGAAAAGAUAAUUGUUAAUUGUUAUACUAUUUGAGCAGUUGGAUAGGAAGCAAACAAAUUUAAUUACAGAGAGGCAAUCAUAGUUUCACAAAUAGGCAUUGCCAGCUGUCGAGACUCUAUAGGCUGACGUUAUCCCAGUGUGCGGAAACUGUCAAGUCUCCCAGAUGCUACGAUACGUGUCCUCGAACAAUUACGGCCAUCGAUCGACAUCCAAGCCCAAGGCACAUAGUCGUGCCGUGAGAAAAAAAAACUGCAGUUCCUGUCCGUCGAGAUGCCCAAAAGACAUGCUUUAAUUCACUUGUGAAACUGUAUGUGUUCCAAUCAGAACUAGCAGAUGAUGACCUCGUUAUCUAUUAGCUUGUAUGAUAGAUAAGGGUGCAAACGGGAUCCCGCGAAAGUCCCGCUUCUAGUUCAAUUCUCAAAUCUCUUAUUCAAUUUCUGAACAAAAUUUUGAAUAAAAGAUUUUUAGGCAUAGAUUCAAGGUAGAUGUUUGUAUGUUCAGCGAUAGUGCUCAACAGUCAACACCCUCCAUCUAUUCCGGCUGCUGGUUUUGUAUUCAGUAUUGAAGGUGGAUCAGAGUAUACCUGUAGUAACAAAUCAUCCUGAAGAAAGAGGCCCUGUACGUAGCUGAACAUGUCACGUGCAGAACAUCUGGGCGCAGAUGACUGAAGAAUGAAGCUCGGCUAACACUAUUUGAAUGGGUUCUCUGUUAGCUUUGUUCACAGCAAUUCUUUCUUUGAAUGAGUUUGAAUGUCCAUGACUUCAGAGCCAUUAUUCAGAUAGCGCAAUUGUUUAUUUGUUAGUUUUGUUGCUUCAGAGUUUUAAUGAAUAUAGCUAGCAGUGCAAAUGCUAGCUACACUUCUACAACACAGGUGGCGCAUUGCCUGUAUUUUUAGAGUUUUGAUUGACAACAUGAGUGAGCAGAUGGAGAGGUUCAUGCUCUUUACCUUUGAAUUCACUGAGACUAGUGGUACGAUAUUUACCUCUCCUAUAUGAUCAUUUUUUUACAUUGUGUACAGUGUGUUGUGGUUGAAAACGAAUCCCUGUUUUUUUUUAUGAUUGAAAGAUGCUGAAGGAAAAGUCAAUAGAUGGCUACAUUCUGUCCAAUCCAGUGAUAAGAAGACAUAACAUAACCAGGGGCAAUGAGGUGUUCAUUUGCACCCAGGAGGGGCUACGGCUUUGGGCACUCCCAGUCCUGCCCAAUGUAACACUCUGCUCAGUGCUCACCGGCUUCUCCGUUGAUAGACCGGAUGCAUGGAAUUUCUGUUGCCUCCCAAACCUAGAUUCUACCAGGGUCUUAUACACGAUCAAUUAGUUUUUCUGUAUGCUAUAGUGCAGCUACACUUCUACAGCACAGGUGGCGCAUUGGUGUUCUACUCUCUAUUAUAAUUGUUCCGCACCUUGAGGGUUAAUCCUGACAAGACAAAUGGGAGAAUAACAAGGUCGUCUGAUAUAUAUAGUGUGAGACAUCGAUGAAUGAAAUGGGAGAGUUAUGUGUUAUGUGCAACUACCAUGAGUGAAGUGGUUUAUUAAUUGGAUCUCGAUCUCAUCAGUGUGUUCUCUUGCUACUGCACCUACCACUUUGCAGGUAUUCUUGGGCAUGUGAGGGAAUGAAGUGGUUAAUUCUGGUGUUUGCGGAUGCCCAAUAUAUACGCAGUAGUCUAAGAGAGGAGUGGAACGUUUAUUAUGGAUGAUAUGUCUCAUUAACUAUUAAUUCCCCUUUGCCAAUACCAAUAUGAUGAUGGCCGUUGCUGGACGGCGGAUCGUCUCCAGCCGCGUGGGUUGAAUCAUCCAGGUCGUUGUCCGCUCUGCGACCAAGUUCCUGAGGAUAUCUCCCACUUGUUGGUUGGUUGUUCUGUGCAUGGGGAGGUUUGGUGGCAGGUGCUUAGAGGCUGGGACAAGCUUGAUUGUCUGCCGGAGCUGAGAGAUAGCUUCGUCAACUGGUGGUCCUCCAUCCCUUUGAUCGGCAAUGAUCGCAAACAAUUCGCUACUAGUAAUGCUCUCAUCUUUUGGUCCAUUUGGAAGGAGAGAAACAAGGUGGUCUUUGACGGAGCCACAACGAAUAGAGCUAGCAUUAUACAUGCGAUUAGUCUUGUCUUGAGGCGGUCUCUUGGUGGCAGGCUAAGCUCAUUAGUGGAGUUGGGUUUGGUUGUAUCCCGGAUGCGUUCGAGUGGAGAACAAUGGUUAGUUUCUUUAUGUAAACUCAGCCCGUAAUGGGCUUUUAGCUGCUCCGCAGCUUCUCCUUCUUUAAUUGAUGAUACACCAGGUUUAGUGUAUUUAGAAAAAAAAUACCAAUAUGAUAGGAUUCCGUACAUGUGAGUGGUAACAUGACUCCGGACAUAUCUUGCUCUCUGGCUCUCUGCUUCAAAUUAAGCUGAGCCUUGUGAAACCGGUAUAGACAGCCAGGUCUUUCACAGUAGUAACAUGUGAACAUGAGCCUUCCAUCGCGUUGAUCCAAAGCCUCAGAUCUAUUGAUAUUGGAAACACAAAGAACAGUAUUAAUAUUUUUUUUGUCAAAAGGUUAAAAUGGGUAAGGUGGCAAAAAAAAAUCCCGCACGCCCAGGGCCUAAUUCAGAGGAAUUUUGUGGUAAGUGCUGUGGUCCGGAUCAAUCCAUUUUCUAUCCCCUCGUCUGCAGGGCUAUCUCGGCCUCUCGGGAGAAGAAAGUCGCGGUGGGCAGCGUCAAGCCGAGCGGCGGCAGGGCCGGAUGAGGGAAUUAGUUCUUGAUGUGCCUUCGGUAAGGAGAUCUGGAGAGAUACAGUUUCAAUCGAAUUACCAUUGCCUCCUUUUCCUAUAAUUAUAAUUAUACACCUGAAUGGCACUUUUACACAUACAUGCAGUUCAGGGACACAUGCAACCAUAUUUUUACAUACAGUUGAUCGAUAUUGUUGGCUAUAUAUAUAGGCCACACAUUGCUCAGGCAUACAUGGCCGGUACGAGAAAACCAGCUCAAGUUGAAAUGUACUACCUGAAUUUAUUAUUGGCUUGGCAUGCAGUUGGUAUGUUCAAUCUGCUCACAACCUGAAUUUGCUUCCACGUGUGUCUAGGUGCAUCGACAAGCUGAUGCAUACAUGGAAAAUUCUAUCUAUCGCAGGAAAUUCAUGUAAAAUCGUAAAGAUCCGAAGAAGAACAGAUGGAAAAAGGGCGCAGCAUGCUCAGGGCCGGUCCCACUGUCUUAGAACAUAAUAAGUGUCUCAAAUUUUGUACUAAUUUAAUACAAAAUUGUACUAGAUCUGAGACAUUUAUUAUGGAUCGAAGUGAGUAUCAAAAAAAUAGAGGUGUCACACGCUAUGCAUACGUAAAACAUAUCAAAUAAAGUGAUUCUAGAUUCGAUGUCCGGUGCAACACUCUAGCAACGGCCCUGAGCACGCUAUUUGAGCAUGUAAAUUCAGCAGCAAUGACACUGAGGUAUGGGAAAGAACCAAGCAGCUAGCCAAUUGUUCUGAAUUCCCCCGUUUCCUGCUACCUCCUUUUCCGAUAUAUACCUACGUACGAUUUGUUGUAUGGCUUGUAUGCACGUACAGUUCGUGCUUAUAUGUAAGCUGUGCUUUGGAUAUAUUUGGCUAUAUAUAUAGCCACACAUUGUAAUGUUGCAUACGAGAGAAUUACUGGCUCCAAUUAAUGUACUCUUCUGAUCCUAAAUUCUUGACUCAAAUUUGUCAAAAUAUGAAUGUAUCUAUUCUUAAAAAACGUCUAGAUACAUAUAAUAUUUCGACAAUAAUUUAGAAUCGGAUGGAGUAUUUACUAGCGGCUUGGCAUGCAGUUGGUAUGUAAGGUUCAAGCGGUACUCCCUCCUUCCAUCCAAAAAUAUAAAGCUACUCCGUAUUAUUGAAACGUAGGCCUACAUUACCAACUGUAUGCCAAGCUGCUAGUAGAUAGAUCGGACUAAUAUGGGGAAGGGUCCUUAAGCUUCCUUCGAGGUCUCAUUGCUGAAUUCCCUUGUGGCAAAACAUCUUGCAAGUUCCAACACAUAUGUACAUAUAUCAGCUGAACCAUUAAUUUUCAUCUUUUACUCUGAGAUAUUCUGUGAUGGGGUAAACGCUGAUGUUAGCUAGGAGUGCUUAACGAAUCAUCUUAAUUAUCACUUACUGACUACGUAUUAGAAAAACCCGCAAAAAAACUACGUAUUAGAAAAGAAUAAAAUAAUUUGAUAAGAAAGAAACUAAUUAACCGGGGCAGAUGUAUUAAUUGCUUUACUCAGUUUUACUAGAGACCGCGACGCGCUCGUUCAUAUACCGCGGGCCUGGAUAUAUAGAACAAAUUUACAGCAACAGUAAUUGAAACAGAAACAACUUAAAUCUCCAAGAGACAAGAUUGCGCAGAGUAUGAUCAGGAGGGACUAAACCUCCAACAGAUGGAAUAAGGAACAUCUGAAAAUUCUACAUUUUGAAGCAUCAACCACAUGCAGCUUGACAAAUUGGGAAAGCUCAAUCUUCGAUCGAGCAGGCCAGUACAUUGAGAAGCAAUGUCACUGAGGUGCGACCGCAGAAGCCAAUCAGUGAUGGUCUGUACGUGUUCCUCUGUGCUUGGCAAUUUUUCUGGAUUCCCCCGUUUCCCGCUGCCUCCUUUUCCCAUGAAUGCAUGCAUAUGUACGAUUUUCCAUGCCUGCCCAUUGUCUCCCAAGCGUACCUUAUAUAUUGCUCCUCCGUUCUUAAAUUCUUGUCGUUUUAGUUCCUCAAUUUGAACUAACACCACGACAAGAAUUUAAGUACGGAGUGAGUAUUUACGAUCGGUGCCGAUGAUUAUUUUAUGUCAUUAACAAGAAAACAUAUCGGGUGAAACAUCUCGAUUCAGUUCAAAUUUGAAAACAGAUCCUGAUGUUAUGUACUGUCCGAACUUCUGGGUCCCCUCAAAAUAAGCCAUGCACAUACGUGCAUACAAGUGGGCAGACAUGCAACCAUAGCAAGGGAUGCCCGUCUGAACAAGCUAAUACCUAGGCCUUCUGACCCCUAUCCCCUCUCUCCCUCGAACGCCAACCCUGUCAGCCGAUCGACCCAUUCUCGCCCCGAUCCAUGUCUCGGCCCACCUCGCCCCCGAUCCGCCUCCCGAUCUCAAUCUCCCCCUACCGAAUCCCCCGUGCCAUCUCCCUGGUCACCACCGUCUCCUGAAUCCCCAACACCGCCACCAUCUCCUGAUCCCGCGCCCCAGGACGUCUGCGUACGUCGCUGUCCUCCGGCCACCCCAAGCUCUGCCGCCGCUUUGAUUUAAUUUGCUGCAGCCUUGAUUCACUCCGUGGCAGGCUCAAUUUGCCUUGCCCCGACUCCACUGUCAUCAUGGUCUCCUUUGCAGCCGCUGGAAGACGGACAGCCGAGGCACCGGGCGGAAGCGGUAGGGUGGCACGAGCACGCGGCAGGGGCACGCGGCGAGUGUAGGUGGAGGGCGGUGCGAGCACGCGGGCAGGGGCACGCCGCGAGUGCAGGUGGGCAAUGGCAUGGAGGUUGCAAGCAAAUGCUGCAGGGGCAUGGUAGGGUGGCGCGAGCACGCGGCAGGGGCACGCGGGCAGGGGCACGCCGCGAGCGCAGGUGGGCAAUGGCGAGCACGAGCAGAUGGGGUCGGGCGGGGUCCCGCGCAGGCGAGCAGUCAGGCGCAGAUAGGUAACGGGCGAUGGCAAUGGCAUGGAGAUUGCAAGCAAAUGCUGCCGAGAGAAGAAGAAAACAUGGAGUCACUGACAAAGGGGGUCCACGUGUCAUUAGGAUCUAAAGAAAAUACAUAUAAUAAAUUAUGGGAAAUCUGCUAUGGGCUUACUUUGACUCGGCAAGAGUUUGGAAGUAGCAACAGAGAAACAAAAGAAAACGGUCUAUACUUAUCCGAUACAAAAUUCCACAAGGUAGAUCAUUCACCGUUCAAACUCUUGCAAAGGAUUUUUAACUGCGGAGGUAGGCAUGUGUGCAUACACUAUUCUGUUUAAUUUUGUCAUUUGUUUGCUUGAAACAAUCAUACAUCUGUUAUUCACAUGUUGUGCUACAAAAUUGCACCAAAUAUACACCGACAUACCAAACCGAGUAACAUGUUGUCGGGACGCUUGAACCAAGGGAUCGAAUGAAAGAGAGAAAAAGAGAAGGAAGGUUGUUCCUACUUUCAUGACGUUGUGAUAUUUUAUUUUACUUUUUAUAUUUAUGUUUAUUUUUCGUAGCAACGCACGGGCUUUUGACUAAUAUAGUACACAUAUGAGUAUAUACGGUGAUAGUUGGCAACAUAUUUGCUGCCGGUAGCAUAUAUGUAGCUCGGACGCUGUAUAUAUAGCUACUUGUGAGCUAGAUAAACUAGGAAUGAUGGUGUGCUUGCCAUGUGCAAAUAUUAGGUCGCAAAAAGAACGUCAUUUAAAGUUCUAAUUAACUUGCCAGUAGUGCAGGCUGCAAGAAAGGUACCAGGGAGUACUAGCUAGUACGUAUAUUUAAAUUUAAAUAGAGCAGCAGCACCAUUAACAUCACAACAUCUACUGAAGACAAUGAGGAGAAAAAUCAAUGUUGUCAUUGGAGCUCUACACGGUACUCCACUACAGAACGGAAAUAUCUUUUCUCUACUUUAAAAUCAAAUGGAACCAUUUUUUCUCUCUCCCUGUGAAUCAUCUGGUUUGCUCUUGAACCUGAAUUUGAGUUGGCAUGGAUACAUCUGAUUGCAGGCCAGGUUCUAGUCAGAUUACACUUUUCAGUAUUUGUCCGUUCUCUUGAUUAAUAAGAAGAGCUGCAAAUAUACGUGGUGCUAAAAUCUACUUCCUCCAUUUUAUAAUUCUUGUCGAAAUCUUACAUGUAUUUAGACACUUUUUAGGAAUAGAUACAUCCAUUUUUGGACAAAUUUGAAACAAGAAUUGUGGAAUGGAGGGAGUAGAAAACAACCACAGUAUAGAACUUUCCGCAAUCUCGCAUGUAUGAAAAUAUCUGCUGAAACAUGCUCUUUGCAAGAGCAAGACCCUGCUUGUGGGUGGUGUGCGUCCUUGCGGAGCCGUGGACUCGCCGUCCGUCAACAUCUUGGCGCCACGAUCUAUCGAUCCUUGGUAUCCCCUCCUGCGGAUUCUCGCAGAAGCCCCAGCAAGGUGUAGUAGUGAGGCUCUCUAUGGUGGAGGAUUCGGCAAUGCAAUGGCUCUCGCAUGGUACUUCGGCUCGUUCGGUCGAAUAUAAGCGAUGGUACUUGCAGGGCAACCUAGCUACCAUCGGUGUCUGAUGCUCUGUCCAAAUUAGCAAAAACCGAGAGAGCAACAAAUGAAACCAGUGUGCAGCAUGCUACCAAGCCAGCACACCUGAGAAGGAAUCUGACUGGGACGUGGUAAAAGACCAAUCAGCGAUGCUGUGCGAUCCUCUGUUCCAGCCAUUUCCUCUGAAUUCCCCUAUUUCCCUCUGCCUCUUUUUCCUAUAUAUAUGUAUAUAUACCUGCGUACGACUGAACGCACAGACAGUUCAUGCAUAUGCGAUCUCAUAUGUACUUACAGUAGCUAUCAUUUGGAUCGAUAUAUUUGGCUAUGGCUAUAUAUAUAUAACCACGUAUUGAUUUGGCCGGUACAAGUGAACCAGCUCCAAUUAAUCUAUUUGCUCCUAGGCUGGCAUGUGGUUGGUAAGUAGGUUGCAAUACAUGUACUUGCCAAAAAAUUAGAUCAAACUUGCAACGGCGGAACAAAAUGAUUCUCCUUGGGUAAUAAAAGAAUAGAUAUAGGAGUGGAAAAGAUAUUGGUUCAUUUGCAUCCGAUUAUAAAGAACACCUUUUGUUACCACUUUACACAAGUAAAGCUAGCUGCAUUUGUGCUUUAACUGGAAAACCAAUUUCCACAGCCUGAGCAUGUACAGGCCGGUUCAAUAACCAAUCCACUAGUACUGCUUAGGAAUUAAAGAGAUUCUGUGCCAUAAUUCAACCCAUAGUUGCCAAACUGCAGAAGCGAUUGGUUUCAGAUACAACUAGUACUAUUUCAGAGGAUUCAGAGGAUCACGACGGUGUUCUUUCUUUCUAAUUUUGUUACUGUAAUCAUGCUCUGGCGUGAUGCUCGAUCUUCCCAUCACGCAAGGAAGUUACUACUAGACAUGAUACUGUCCAAUUAAGUUACUAUUUCAGAUCGACAUGCAGGAGUUUUGUACACGUACUGUUGCUCUGGGUUCAGCUGUGCUCGGCAUAUAUUGCACCGAACCUUAAUUCUCACGCUGCUCAUUUGAGUAGAUCCCACCUUGUAUCCUCUAAUUUCAAUUUCGUGACGCAAUUUAGCCUAUUUAGGGGACUUCUUUUUUUACAAAUUUACUUCAUUUAAGCAAACUUUUGACACUAAUUGUCACAUUCAGUAUUUAUUUCCUCACUUCCGACGAAUUACGACAUCAGGCGCACAAGUUCAGUCCCAGGCCGUGCAGUGGCUUGUGGCUGCGGUGAGGCAUUUCGUCGAGCAGCCAGCAGGCGUCGUCCAUGCGGCCGGACGACUCGUAGAAUCGCAAAGAUCGCCAGGACAGCAGAUGAAGAUCAUGCGCAUCACGCUAUUUGAGCCGGUACUUUCAGUAGCAAGGUGACUGAGGCACGGGACAAGGCCCCGCAGCGAUGGUACGUGUUGCCCUGUCCUAGCAAACUGCUCUGAAUUCCCCUGUUUCCUGCUGCCUCCUUUUCCUAUGCCAUGCAUACCUGUGUUCUAUUCUUUUUGCACCCAAACAGUUCAUGCAUAUUUGUAAGUUGUGCUUUAGAUAUGUUUGGCUAUAUAUAUAUAUAGCCACACACGUUGUAACAUACAGACGGUAUAUGAGGAAAUUAGUGGCUGCAAUUUAUUAUAUAUUAAAUGUACAUGACGGGGCAACAAAAAAGAUAGGAAUGCUAGAAAAUUUCAAAAAAAAGCAAAACAUCUGCCCAUUUGCUUCGCUAAUCGGACGACAAUGGACGCUUAGGAUCUUCCAUACGAUCCGUGUGGUGGUUGCCCCUCGUGCCUGGCCUCUUCCGACCUGAGUCUCCCCCUUUCCGAAGACCUUCCCAACCCCUUCCCCUUCCUGUUCCCUGUCUCUCUCCGACUCUCCCUGACUCACACCUCCGCCCCUGAUCGCCGCCACCCGCCAUAGGCGUCUCCCAGAAGAGUCAGCGCUCUUCCCCUGAGGCCCUGGCCCCCUGCUUCAUCUCUGUUGCCAAUCUAGACGAGUACCCCCCCCCCUCCCCCCCCACACCGCGGCGCCCAAUCCUUGGACCUAAUCCUCUCGCACCAUUACUCUGUUCAGAUCAAUCGGUGCAGAGCACGGACGAGGACGAAGGUGCGGAACACGACUUCGUCAGUCAUUGUUCCUCCUGAUGCCUCCCUGAUCCCUCCCAACAUUACUUGCAGCAGCCCCACUGGUGCUUUGCCCUCGCAUCGCAUCGUUUCUGUUCAGAUCGGUGCAGAAUGCACCUUCAUCGGAUCCGAUUGCUCGACCUCGCAGUCCUCUGCUGUCAACUUCUCCCUCAUACAACACAGUAUUCUUGAGGUAGACUUUCUUCCCAUGGUUAUGGCAGCAAAAUUUCAGAUUACCUUUUUUUUUUUAUCUCAAGUCAUGACCCGUGGAUUGUUGUUACAUGUUUCUGUAGAGAUAGUGUUGCAUUGUUGCAUUAUAUUAGCUGUUUCUGAUAACCAAAUCACCUGUCUUAAAACUAAAUUAACAAGUCACGGCCCCCGUCUACUCGGUGUUCUGGUGUGCUUUCGGUUUUCUUUCAAGCGGAGGAAGAAGAUGCAGGUUCGAAGUAGCAAUUAGAAUGUCAGUUUCAUCUAUAGUACUCUUUAUUUUAUAUACACAGUACACUACCAGUUCUCUUCCUUGCCUAUUUUUUUUGACCGAAAACUGUAGGGGAAACCCCUAUUAUUCUCUUCCUUGCCUAGAGACACGGCUACUAAAAGAUCUCAGAAUAAAACAGGCAGGUUUGUGCACUUUCUUCAUUGUGGUUAUGGCAUCUUCAAUUGUUAAGUUUUUUUUUUCUAGAACUAGCCCCGGCAAUUAAAUAAAGAUUUAAGGUGUAAGUCAUCUUUUCCACUUUCAAGUGAUUCCACUUGAGUCAUGCAUGUUACUAGGUUAUCAUAUUCUACCCCAACUACUCGACAACAUGUGAGCUAGCAUAAAAUGGAAAAGAUGUAAUUAACACCAAAAAAUUAUGACCUGCUCUUCUAUUGAUAUUUUAUUUGUGCUACCUGCUCUUCCAUUUAUGUUUUAUUUGUUCAGAAUAGAUUAUGAUAUUUAUAUAAGUACAGAUGGGUAAACGCUCUCAUGUAAUUGCAGUAUUAAUCUAUCAUUUAUUAUUAGUUGGCUAUACGUGUUGUGUGCCUAUGCAAUAUUUUUUGUUUGGUUUUUUUAGCUUCGGUUCCUUUGUCUGCUAAAACAGUGGGUAAUGGUAUGAUAGCACAUACAAGUGCUUAGGUGACUGUCAUGGUAUGUAAUACACAACACAUGACACCAUAGAAAGCGUAGCACAGAACUGAAACAAUUACUUAUUACCUCACCGUCAUGGUGGAUGCAAUGGACUUACAGGUUUUUACUAAUUUUUUAUAAAACACCUAUGUUAGCACCAAAAAUACACCUGACAUUUAGACCAACGCUCUUGACAAUCUACUUAACCGCAUAGAUUAGGUCAUCAGGCUCGCACAUGUGUGUGGUCCCCGUGCUAGAUUAAUUACAUCAAACAAUUGCUUUUAACUCCCACGCUUGAGAGCUCUCUUUAUUUGAAAAAAUACAUAUCAAGAGGUGCAUCUACAAGUUUCAAAUAUCUCCAAACAAUCUCUUUGUUGGGAACACACUAUGCAUUUGUACAUUUUCAUGAAAAUAUGCUUUCAUUUGCAGGGAACAGAAAAGUGGUGGUCUACAUCAGCAAAAAAAUGCAGCUAGCCAGCUACUAUGUAAUAUUCUAAAUCAUCAUAGUGUCAUAUUUGUGAAUCCCUUGAAACUUAUAAAUGCACUAUUUAAAUAAAAAUAAAAGGAUCGCUAGAGCUUAGGAGCCAAAAAAUCCUCUCAAGGCACACCACAUCUGGUAAAGCAUGUACGUUGGCUUUCUUCGUUGAUGUGUCAGGUUAUCUCUUUUUUCUGUCCUUCAAUCUUCCUAUACAAAGUUUCCUCGAAUGUUUGCUUUAUGUACAAAAGAAUCACUAGAAUUGUUUAACCAUAUCUGUCAACUGAUCGGACACUUUCUGUUUCUGUUAAGGAAGGGCUGACAUACAAAGUGUUGUGUGUAAUUGUGUAUAUGAGCAACUGUGUGCUUAGCUCCCAAGAUACAACACCACCAGAGGUAAAAACUGCAUCAUGUUUAUUAUCUGUAGGUGAAGUCAUGACUCAGAUUUAAUGUAUUGCAGAUAAAAGAAAUUGAAAACUUCAAAAGGCAACUCUGGGGUAAUUUGUCUUUCGUUUCGAAUUAUGCAUGAGUACACUCACAACAAUAAGUUCGGCUUCAUCAGAAGUUUUUCUUGAUACAAAAAACAUGUCGGGUUGAUAUAUACAUUAGUCAAGUUCUGCAGAUGCAAAAUAAAUUACUUUAGUUUAUACAGGAAAAUAGAAAUAAAGUGUUUUCUUUGAAGGCUACCAUUUCUUAUAGUUGCGCAUUCAAGUUUAAGCUCCGACGUAAGAUUUUGCUUCGGUUGGUAUCCCAAAGAAGAUCUAUUGAGCUGAGAAUGCCAUGUGUUGUUACACUUGAGGUUGCAAUCUAUUAUGUAUUGUGUAUUUCAUGCUUUACCUAGCUCUAUUGUGCAUUUCUUAUGUAUUUUUUAUUAUUAUAAAUGAACCCAAAACCGAGUACCUUUCACAUUCCUGCCUUUUUUCUGUAACUUCGAUUCUAUUGAUUAUAUAUGUUUGUUCAGAAGGUUAAUACCUUGCUCAAUGGAUUAUAUACAUAACAGAUGUAAAUAGUAUCCUGUUCUUAUUAAACUUGGCAACUUUAAUGAUAUUUGGCAAGAAUUUGCUUGCGACCUCCUACAAAACUACCCAUCCCUUUUUCCGGACAAGCUACUCAUUUCAUGAUUUGAGCAUAGAGAAUAGCAAUGAAGUUGUAUGUAUGUUCUAUACCACAGUUCAUGCGUUGUUUGAUGAAAUUGGCAAGUUUUUUUACUAGCACUUCUAAAAAAUGUUUCAGCAUAUGUGUCGGCAGCUUGGUUAAAGAUGAAGCUGGCCCAUUUUCCUGUAAUAGCAUUGAAAAUUAUAUAAUUCUUCUUGGGUUCAAUUUGCUUUUAUGUAAAAAUCAUGAUAUGGGUAAGCUUUAGCACUUGCUCCGCAUGUCUACAAAUAGUUUUUUAAUCUCUUUCGAGAGUUUACAAAUUAUUCAUAUCAUGGAAUUAGCACAAAAAACAUUCUUUAAGUGUUCCCUUUUAUAAGAUGUUUUUUUCAACCAUGCUUUGGAACUUAGCACGUUGGUUUGGUUUGUUCCCGGGGUAGACACUAAAUCAUUUGUUUACAUUCAUAAGGAAUUAUUUUACUUUGAUUUUGCCUUCUGGCUUGGAGAUUUAACAUGCAUUUUUCUUUCCGGUUACUUGGGAAGGCAAAAGGAUGAGUUGGAUGUUGUCAUGUCAAUUAUGAAUAUUUGCAUUCAAUCUUAAUGCUUUUUAAACUUCACAUUUAUAGCUAUAAUUAUUUACAGGUGAAUUGCAUGUAUAUGUGGUCAUCUUCAUUAUCUACUUGGUACAGAGGUAAUAUAUGAUCAUCUUCAUCAGGCACGGUUGCAAAGAACUCGCCAUGGUGUGAAAACUCACCAACUGGAUAGCAAGGGCGUAAGUACAACAGUACCUAUUGGCUACCAUUUUCUCUUUUUGCAAACAUAGAUGAUUGUGCAUUUAGAGUUGUGAAUUAGUUUGUCCAUGGAAACUGUUUUAUGCUAUCCAUGAUUUGUUGUAAGUCCAUUCCCUAGAUUUCUUUAUUCCUUUCGAAGUUGCAUGUACCAAAGAAUUUGUUGUAGAAAUUGGACGAAAAUAUUUUAAUCAAGUGCAUCUGCAAUUUCUUUGUAAAAGAAAACAAAGCUCUAAUUUUCCCUUGCUAUUAUUGCUCUUCCAAUUUAAACCGACCGCUGGCAAAUAGAUACGGUAUGUAUUUCUCUUCUAUUUAAAAGUUCUCAGGUGAGUCUGUCAAUGUCACUAAGAAAAUAGUUUUUUUACAUCGAAUUAAAAGAGAUUUUGAUGUGAAUGGUGUGCAGAUUAAACAACUGCGGAGCUACUUCUGUAGAUGACCAGUCACGUGAGAGUAGAAAGAAAUGUCAAUAAAGAGUGGAAAGAAUCAACCAUUUUUUCUUGAUUAUCAGGUUUAUUGAUUAAUUCAAAUCUUGAAGUUUUAAUCCAUUUUCCUGUAUGCCAAAAAGUACGAGGUCUGUUGUUUUCAAUUUAAAAUUGAAAUAAUGAGCACUAAAGGUACUGCCCUCGCAUUUGUGAGGGCCGCUGGACUAGUUAAUGUAAGAGGAAUUGUUUGGUUAGAAGGAAUUGAAUUUUAAGAGAGACCAACUUCCACCAUUUAAUAACAGUGGGAGAUGUGUGAAUUUGUAGAGAAUUGUUUCGUAGAAAUGAUCUCAACCGUUGAUCCCAUCCCGUACAAACAAGUGAUGAGACUAAAAAUCAAUUACCACAUCUAAUAUCCUUUAAACUCCCUCCUCUAAAUUUUCAGUCCUCUUUCCUGAUAUUGCCAGCCAAACAUGUUGUAUAUGUCUAUUUUGUUGACUAAUAGCUAGAUAAAUGUUGGCACGCUAAAAAAAUAAAAAUAUAAAUGAAUAUUGGUUCCAGCCGUAGCAUUUGAAUUUUAAAGGACAUAAUAAUUACGUACCUGACUAUAUCGAGUGUGUAAUCAAUUUUGAUUGAUCUCACCGUAAUUGGAAUCAUCCUAAGUUUUCUUUCUACCAUUAUUGACACUUUUAACCCUGCAUUUCCUUUUUAUUUUCCCAUGAAAGAGAGAGACAUAGAUUUGUUUAUUUGAGAGGACGAUAUAGAUUUAUUAAUCAAACAUGUUACUCCGUAGUACAAUACUCUCUUUGUUCCUAAAUACUUGUUGCACUAAAACAGCGACAAGUAUUUAGAAACGGAGGAAGUAGGUUGCACUAAAACAGCGCCAAGUAUUUAGUAUUUAGGAAACCGGUCAUGAGCUAUGAAGUUGGGUACAAACAGGCCGCGCGUUGCAUGUUGACGAUAACGAGCCAGGCCUCACGCGGGCCGUGCGGCAGGAGGCCAAACUGGGCUGCGAAGGCAGAGAUGGGUUCCCUUGAGGCCCAUGGGCUGAACAUUGGAAGUGGUUCCCCAGUCCGGGACGUUGACAGAAGAGGCUCCCUCGGCGCAUGGGAUGACCGACGGCCGCUGUUUUUACGGAGUAGAAAAUAUGGUUAACACAAACUAUCCGAUAUUGUAACAGAAACCUUGGCACAAGGUAGCUAAUGGAGAAGGAAAAUUGCAAGACAAACCGAUCCAUCUGUCAAAUCUGUUCAAAGGAGAAAAUUGCCGAGUUGACCUAUCAUAUAGUGAUAUAUAUAGGGUCGGCUGCUGUAUCUAAAAUAGCGUCAACAACAAGAAGAGCAGCAGUUGAAAAAGGUAUGCACCAUGCUACUCGAGCAGGUAUACUUCUACAACUCGUGGUUGGCACAUUUUGUGUUCUACUGUCUGUUAUAAUGUUUAAUGUCCCAUUAGCUUGGGGAUUAGUUCUGGCAAGACGAAUGGGAGAAUAACAAGGUACUCGGAUAUACAUAGUGUAACCUCAAUGAAGGAAUGUCCCAGGGAGAUAUGGCUAAAGACCCAUUGCCGAUAGUAUGUGAUCCUCUGUGUUAGCAAUUUCUUAUGGAUUCUCCAAUUUCCCACUGCCUCCUUUUCCUACAUAUACUUGCGUAUGGCUGAAGUUAUGCUAUCUCAUAGCUAGGUAUACAUAUAUACAGUAUCUGUUCUUUGGAUCGAUAUACUCUAUUUGGCAAUGCCAUACUCUUGGCUAUAUAUACCCACACCCACAGGAGCACUGCUAGGCUGGCAUGUGGAUGUGGUUGCUAUGCAGGUAGUAAUACAUCCACUCGUUAGAGUAAUUAUUCCGAUCCAACUUUUCCACGGUGAAAUUAAACUACUCUUCUUCUUAAAGACUCAAAAAUUUAGGAUCGGAGGGAGGAACUAAUAGAGAUAAUAGUGAAAAAGAUUUUUUUUUUAAGAAAACACAGUACAAACGCAGAUGCUCAGAAACACGCACGUGCACUGAGCAGGCAAAUCUUGAGGUUGAUGAAGUCAUCACAUGUGUCGGGUACGCCACUCCCACUCAAAGGACAACGUUGGUUAAAUCCUGCAAUAAAUCUAGGAAAUGCAAUCACCCACAUCAAGUUUAGGAUUUGAACCGGGUUGCUAGUUUUGCCACAAGGAACUAAUCACGCUAGUGGAAAAUAUAUUGGUUCCUUUGCAUCCAGAUUAGCAAAAAUCCGUGACGUACUCCGUGAGAAGAAUGCUCUAAAAACUGCGGUUCGGUGAAAUCACUCUUGAAAUUAAGCCGAGCCUUGUGGGGCUGGUAUAGCUAGACCGCCAAGGACAGGUGUACAUGACCCUUCCGUCAUGUUGAUCCAUGCCUGAUAGGAUACGGUACGCAGCGCUGUCUCUCUCUCCCUAGCUAGCGCCUUUGCACUGCUCGAUCCCAAGCAGGCCGCUGACGAGUGAGCAGCCACUGGAGGAUGAGGCGCGUCGCCAUCGCUGGAGAAGAGACGCGCAAUGGGCAGUUUCAAGCCGAGCGGCGGCAGGGGUAGAGGAGGGAAUUAGUGUUCGAUGUGCGUUCAGUGUGGAUCAGCUACAGUUUCGGUCGGAAUCCCAUUGCCUCCUUUUCCUAUGAAUGUAUGGUUUACCACCUACAUGCCACUGUAACACACAGAUACAGUAGUUCACACACACAUGUGCAACCUUAUUUUUUUGCAUACAGUGAUCGAUGUUGGCUCUACAUAUAUAUAGGCCACACAUGCAUAUGCAUAUGGCCGGUACCAGAGAAACCGGCUCCAACUGAAAUGUAGUUAUUACUGGCUUGGCAUGCAGUUGGCAUGAAGUGAUGAAGAGACAGUGGAAUUUUCCGGCAUUUAGCUCCCGUGAUCCGGUGCUUCCUAUAGCUCAAACAUCAUGAAAAUCAAUAGCGCUAUUAUACAUCCCAACACUACAGAAAUUAUCACAGUUAAAAAAUUGAAAUUGAAAUCCCAGUGUUUUUUUUUGUCCCACCCGAUAUAAACUUCGUCUCACCCGGCAGCAGCAUUAGCAUGAUAGCCGAGGAUUCUGUUGCUGGGCUCUGAAGACAGAAUGCAUCGCUGGGCUUCGAAGGCUCGGUCAGGCGCCGCGGGCCGGAUGUGGAAGCAUGUGGACGGACGGCCGAGCUGUGGCCGAGUGGAGCACGCAGAGGAGCACGAGACGACCAACGGCGGCUGACCGGAGAAAUUUCUGGGUCCGGCCAGGCAGGGCCAGUGGACGCGCGGAGAAGAAGAAGACUCCAGGCGGGUCUACGUGCCAGAAGGACACCGGGAGGCCUGGCCGUCGCUAGUCUCGCACCCGGCGGUGAUGGAAUUCGCCAAAACCAAUAGAGAAACUGAUGAAAUAAAUGUGCAGCAUGCUAUCAAGCCAGAACACCCAAGGAAUAUGACAGGGGUGUGCCCAAAGAACAGCCGGUGAUGCUACACGAGCCUCUAGGCUAGCCAUUUCCGGCCUCUGAAUUCCCCUAUUUCCCUCUGCCUCCUUUUCCUAUGUAUACCCUGCGUAGGCUCAAGUUGUGCGCACAUACAAUUCAUGCAUAUGCGAUCUCAUAUGUAGUUACAAUAGCUAUCAUGUGGACAAUAUAUUUGGCUAUGGAAUACUCUUGGCUAUAUAUAUAACCAUGUAUCCGUAUGGCCAGUACGAGUGACCAGCUCCAAUUAAUCUAUUUACUGCUAGGCUUGACAUGUGGUUGGUCAGUAGGUUGCAAUACAGGUACUCUUGCUAAAAAUCGAACUUGCCAUGGCGGAAUAAAAUUACUCUUCUUGGGUAAUAAACUAAUAGUACAUAUAGGAGUGGAAAAGGUAUUGGUUCAUUAGCAUCCGAAUUUAAAGAACAUGCAUAAACGCCUUUUGUUACCACUUUACACAAAUAGCUAGCUGCAUUUGUGAGGCGGUUCACUUUAAUUUGAAUUGCGUUCCUCUGCUUGGCUCAAAGGCUUGAGACAGAAAAAAAAAUCUAUGGGACAAUCUCGUCCUCGUUGCCGAAAUUUUAGCGGAACUUGAGUCAAAUCUUAGUAAACCGGAAUAAACUAAAACAUUAAUGAAAUUUGUUUUCUUAAUUUCCACAGCCUGAGCAUGUACAGGUCGGUUCAACAUCCAAUAUAAUCCACUAGUAUUGCUUAGGAAUUAGGGAGAUUUUGUGCCACAAUUUAACUCAUACUCCGUACUUGCUAAUUUGUAGCAGCGAUUUGUAUACUAUUGCAGAUUCAGAGGACGACGGAGUUCUUUCUUUCUAAUUUUGGUACUGUAAUCAUAAUAUAGGAGCACGGAUCGAGAUAUAUCAGGCGAAUGCAUGGGAUGGCCUAAGCUAAGCUCCACGGCCAGAGCCCGGCAGAUACACCUGCAGAGCCUGCGGCCACGGGUGAAGUCUUGCGAACCGAGUCAUUGGGACAUGAGUCCUAUCGCAGAAUCGUCGGGCUUGUAUUUGCAGGAAUUACUUAUGAGCAAAAUCAUCAGUCUUGUGUUCUCACCAAGGUGUCAUAAAAGAGCUCUAUAAUAAAGCAACAAGAUAUCUUGAGCCCAUUUUUGGGUGAGGCUUGGUAACUGAUAUCCCGUUGCCUCUCAAACCUAUAGAUCUACUACACCUAUGUUUGUGCCCUUAAGAUCUUAACAUAUAACAUCAACAACAAUAUGCACUUCUAUUUGUUCUAGGUGGAGAAAGUGGGAACUAAAAAUUGUGAUUUUGAGUUUGAGCCCAUUUUCAAAAAGAAAGAAGUAAUGGAGGAUAUGCAAGUAUAUAUAGUAAGAUAUUAAGAAGCUAGUGUGAUUUUGAGGACCUAAUAUGAGAAUUCUUAUGAGAUUGUAGAUGAUCAAAAAGAGGUUUGUUUUGGUGUUGGCGGAGGAUGUGGGAUUAGUUGUUUGAUGCAGAAAGUGAAGUUGUGUGCAACUCCAUAUGCAUGAUGGCUCUGUCUCACUCACUAUUUAUUUGCCAAGGUGCACCUACCAGUGGCCCUGAAGUAAUAUAUUCAGGUUAAAUGCAAAGAAAAUUGCUCUUCUGCCUACACUAGUACCUUCAUGUAAUCUACUGUGUCUAAAUGAGUAACUCCUAUUAAUCCCUAUGUCAAGAAUACUAAGGAAAGCAAACACAUGGCAUACCAAUCGAUGAAAUGUGCUCAACGCACAAAUUUAAUUAAGCGAUGACAAUUUUUUUGUCUGCCUUCACCCAGGAGCAGCAGUCGUUGGGGUUUGGGCUCGAGAGCAGACCUAGAGAUGGAUCGAGUAAACCAAGUGGCCAGUCCGGGACGUUGAGGACGACGCACAGAGACGAAAUGAAGCAUCGUUGCGGAUGAUGAACGGCGCGGCGGCUGGUCGUCAGAGAUGUCAUUUUCUCGACCGGAGGCCGGGGCGCGGUGAACGGAGAAUGAGCUAGAAGGUGACGGACGGCGACGGCUUUCAUGUCCUUGUACGCCAGUUGUUCGGUGAACUCUUGCAACCGGAGUUAGCUCGGGUAAGCGGAGUCAAACCAGCCUAUCUCGUUCAGUUUGCUGCUCAACAUUCUUAUACUGGUCUUUGAUGUUAGAUGAUACUCAGCAUGAAAUUCUCGAUACCUCCCAAGCUUAUAUUAUCCAUGAUUUGUGACAGCCCCACGAUAAAUCAAUGUCACCAAAUUUGUGUGCAUACAUGCUAGCUAGUGCAAGUGCAAUGUUGAAAAAUAGCAAUGCAUACUUGAGAAUAUUUUGGACCACUCUGGAUAAUUGGAGAGUGUUGGGAAUUGGUUAUGUAUAUUUGAGAAGAUUUUAAAAUAGUUUGGAUUAUUAGAGGAGAAGAUAUUUACAAGGAGCCAUCUAGUGUUAUGAGAGAGGAUAUGAAUAUUUUAGAAGGCUUGAAAGGUUAUUUAAAGAGUGUUGCAAUUUACCAUGGCAGGACCUAGUUAGGGUAGAUUUCAAGAAUAAGUUAGAAUUCUCUAAAACUAGGAUACAUGUAAAGUAUUCUAGAGAAUUGUAAUGGGAUGUACCACAUCGUCUUGUACAAGUAUAAAUAGGGACGCUUCCCACCUUAUAGGUGUACCACAAUCACCACAAGUAGUGUAUCACCACACAAAGUAGAGAAGUGAGCUAUCAUGGUAGAGUUGUGUGCAGGGUAGCCACUAAAGAGAGUGUUGUAUCAACAUUGAAAUAGUGAAUAAAGUGUUAAGUUCCCACAAGUUUGAUAUCCCAAGUAGUGUAGUGUGCAAAGGUCCUUAAGAGUGGGUGUUAGGGUCGCACACAUGUCCACAACACACUUGGUGCAUCAUGAGCUCCUCCUCACCACUAUCAAUCGGUAUAUAACCAAUCCCUAUAUAUAGCUAGGUUCUAUGGGUUUAACUCGGAGGAGAGAGUGGCUCAAGAAGAACAGAAAGUUGUAGUUAACAUAUAUAGUAGAGGUAAAUGCACCCGCGGUCCUACUAUUAUUGACCCUGUGUCAGUUUAGUUCUAAAAUUAUGAAAUUGCACACCGAGGUCUUAAUUUUAUUAAUUGCAGCCGUUUCUUCCGCUCCUCUUCCAAUCCGUUUCAUUUCGAUUUCAAAAGAGUUUCAUUCAUAAACUUCUCACAUUCAAAUUUAAAAGCAGUUUCAUUUCAAUUUCAAAAGAGUUUCAUUCAUAAACUUCUCGCAUUCUCCUCCCACAAUCAAGGAGGGGAGCAAGCUCUGCCGUCCGUGGUCCGCCCCUGCUCCGCCGUCUUCCUCCUCUGCUCUGCCCCUCAUUGCCAGCGACAACCCCUCCUCCAAUCGCAGUGGCCGUCAACGACCAGUCCCCUCUCUGCCGUCGGACGCCAGCGACCCUCCUCCGACAGCAACAGGUGCACAUCAACAGAACUAUUGGUAUUCAUCAACCGGGAAACCCAGCGAACGCCAAAGCACUCUGCGCGGUCUCAGCUGGAGCAUCACUGUUAAUAAGUCUAAGUCUACAGAGUUUUGGUUGGCAAGAAAUCCCACAUGCCAUCACUGUCAAUAAACAAGGACUCGUUUUCCUUUGUUGAUGUGAUCAACUUCAGCUCCAGUUCAGCGCUCAAUGGACCUCCUGGCUCGCCCAUCUCUUUCGGGGCAUCAAGAAGCCACCAAGUGCUCUAGUGACUGCUAACUGACCAUUCAAAUUGCCACCAUAUAUCGACAUAGCCACCUAGUGAUUCUACACCUUUUUUCUUUCAUUUAAGGCAGAAAGUCCUGUGGUCCUUGGGCAUUUCAAUUGCGGCACCACGCCGAGAAAGGACUGCUCAACAAUCACCAGCAUUAGCAACUAGAGAAGACCUGCACAAGAGAUGCUAAUGACGAUUAGCAUUGCUAAUCACUUGGUAUCAUCCAACAAUGAAGCAACUUACAGUAGAAAGUACUGCAAAACUCUAAUUUUUUUGACAUUCUGAAUAUAUUAUUUUUGCCCAAGAGGACGUGUUUCUGCCCAACCCAGGCCUACUCGGUUAGUUGCUUUGGCAAGAAAAUGUUCAUAAGUUCAAUGGAAGUUCACACCAUCAAUUGCAAUGCAUAGACGGCUCAGAAUCUGGACCUCCAUUGUUGCUAUAUACAAGUCGUCAGCAUCCUAUCGGUAGUUCUCACCGUGCAAUUGGUGCAAGUCAUUCGCAGUCUCCUUCACGAUACAAAACCCACAAAUAAGGAAGAACCAAUACUCUCAUAUCUGACACGUGACAAGUAGCUCGAUUCAUACUCUUCCGUGAGAAAGAAACUAAAACCACUACUCCGAGAAAAGAUGAGGUAUAUGUUUCCAUCUCCUACGAGUGUCCACAAACUACUAAUUCCCUAGAGACGUCUUGCAAGUUGCAACGCAGCGCAGACAUGGUAGUCAAGUAGGUAAGAAUGCAAGCAUACCAGACGAUAGAUGCCGGAGUUAGCAACAGCGUAGCUUGAUCCCAUGGUUUGAGAGCCAGGUGGCGCGCCCAGAUGGAAUAUUGUCACUGAUGUACAGAUACAAGGCGGCGACGAUCUACAAGGCUUCAUGCUUUUCUCCCAUUUCCCAGCGCCUCCUUUUCCUAACUUUUACAUACAAUUGUUGGUACGUGUAUACAUGCAUACAUACAUAUACAUUUGGCACCGUACGUGAUCAAUACAUCCAAGGUUGUGUGCUAACUUGGAUUGGAUCUGUAUGUGUUCUUAUGCUUCCGUUGCUACAGCCAGCAUAUGUGCUAGAAUCUAGAUAUAUAAAGUAGCUAGGGAUGGUGUUAAUGCCAGAUAUGCAUGUGCAAAUUGACAUGAUUCGUACAAAGAAGCGUACGUCCUUCUAACUUUGCUACUAAUGCAGACUGCAAGAAAGGUACUGUAUUUAUACAGCGGCAGCACCAUUAACAUCACACAUAAGGCUUAUUAGGCCCACAAAAAUAGAAUAUUUUUUAUAUAAUUAAAGAGGGCUAGUUCUCGUUUUGAUCCUGUACAUUGCGGCCGGUUGCGUGGUUUGGUUUUUCCCAUCUCGACCGUCGAAGGAAACAAAAGCACUACAUGACCAGCUUCGGAUCAAUCACUACAUCCACAGUAUAAUUUGCAAAUUCUAAUAGCUUGCAGAGAUGCUGCGGUCUAUUGGAUGUGGAAUGUCUUGGGAAAGCAUAUGCAUGCAAAGGCAUCAAAUUGAUGUCACCACACACCAUGUCUUAGUUUUGGAUGCACACGUACUGUUUAAAAAAUUCACCUUCUGGAAUCUACUCCUCCAAUGAUCCCCAAAUUUCCUUGGCUAGCCUUUUUCUUAGAAGCAACUAGCUUGGUCCUACUUUACUUGAUUGCUCCUGAACCAAUUGUAUUUUUAAUCUCCUUUUUUUGCGGGUAAUUGUAUUUUUAAUCUCCAUUAGUUUGUAUUAUUUAUUUUCAAAAAGACGAGUAACUGCGGCCUCUGCAUCGAUUGAUGCACACAACCGUUGUAUUGUUAAAGCAUCCAUCAAUGUAUCAUUCUUAAAAGUUACAUAAAAAUGGAAAAAAAGAAGACAAUACAAUCAUCCAUCUUGAAGCUAAGACUGCACGCCACCCAAACAGGUAAUUAAAUAAGGCACAUCUCCAGUGUGGAUAAAUCGGGUCCUGCAAUCAUGCUGACUUCACUUGGACUUAUUGGAAAAUAAACAUUUUGCAGGGUUUGCAAAACACAAAUGUGCAUAUCGAUCAGCUGGACCAUUUGAUAUUUUGUGCUGGAGUAAACACUGGUGUUAGGAGUGCUUAACAAGAUAGUGUUAAUUAUCACUUAACUACACAGGAAUUAAAUAAUUAAUAUGGUGAAGAAAAUAAACUAAUUAACUGGGGUGGUUGUAAUCUUUGUGGUAUUCUCAAGGAACCGAUGCUAGUCUCAACAACAGCGUACCCGCAUAUGCAACAAUAGCCUGCUCGCAUAUGGACUCACUGUUUGAGAGCCAGGUGGUGCGCCAAGGUGGAAUGUUGUAACUGAUGAACAAAUACGGGGUUGCGGCGAUCCUCAAGAAUUGAGGUUUUCUCCAAUUUCCUGGUGUCUCCUUUUCCUACGUAUACGGAGCCACAGAAUUGUUGUUACGUCCACCCGUUCUGAAGCACAUGUACAGUAGUUUUUGGCACUCUCUAACACAUUUGCGUACGGUUGUAUACUAACUUGGAUGGGAUGUGUAUAUACUCCCUCCGUCCCACAUUAAGUGACUCAAAUUUGUCCAAAUAUGAAUGUAUCUAUGCUUAAAAAACGUCUAGAUACAUGUAAUAAUAGAGCUCUUCUACUGUACCCUCUAAUUAAUUCAGACCGUUCAUUUCAUUAGAUCUAAAGGCUCAGAUUACUUGCUACUCCUCGAUACUCCAAUUUGAUUGUACGGAGUAUCAACUCAACACCCGAUGGAGUAUCAGAACACAGGGGCAAAAACGUAAUUCAAGGAGCGAUAUAAUCAAGAGAGAGAAAAAGAAGUUGCUGCCGGUCAGCCGGUGCCGGCAGGGAGGAGGGCGGCGGCCGGUGCGCGCAGUGGUAAGGGCGGCGGCGCAGCCUGGGAGGUGGGUGGGCAGGCGGCUUGGGAGGAGCGGCGGCCGCCGGGGGGCAGGGAGGAAGCUGCGUGCGGGCGGCCUGGGAGGAGCGCGGGCAGGGAGGGAGGCGCGACGCGCUGGCAGGGAGGUGGGUGGCCGGCGCGGGUAGGGACGUGGGCGGCGGCACGGUUUUAGGGAAUUUUUUUGUUUUUUGCAUAAUGUGAAUUGUCUAAAAUGCCCUUGCCUAAUACUCUGUUUAGUCCUGUGGAGUAUCAGGUACCGUAGAAAAUGUCUAAUAAAAAGUCACUUAAUAUGGGACGGAGGGCGUAUAUGUCUUAUUCUACUUCCUUCGCUAUAGCUAGCCAGCAUAUAUCUAGCCUACUUGUGUGCUAGACAAACUGGGAAAUGGUAUUAAUAUGCCAUGUGCAAAGCAACAUGAUUCAUAAAAAGGAACGUCCUUCCUUCUAACUUUACAUCACGCAUGAGUAUAUAUUAGGUCCGUAAUAUAUCAAGGCUAGAUCGAGGACAUAUGGAAGCCUUGAUGUACCGUAUUGCUUAGGUCGGGGUGAUUGCUGCCCGGCGAGAUGCAUAUCCUCCAACAAGUACUCCUAGUAUGUUAUACUGCAUAUAUAACCGCAAAUAUCAUCCGGUUACAAUUGAGAAUUAACCCUGUCUAACACUGGUAUGGAUCGAACAAGCCUCAACUCGUGCCUUCCAUUCGUUGGGUGAUUAAUCACCAUGAAUAUCAAUGAUUCAAUUAGACCAUAUACAGGUUUGCAUCUGCUUUUUCAAAAAUUUGAAGCUUUGCCGAUCUCAACAUCUCAUCAAAAGGUUGUAUCAGUAGACACACCGGCGAUUUUUUCCCCCACUCGCCCGCAACAAUCAUCAAUUAUCAUGCUUCCAUUUGAAUCACAUCGACAUUUUUCCAUUUUCUUGAACGUAUGUAGCAAUUAAUCGUGCAUGUAGAUCUAAAAAACAAUGCAUGUUAUGAAUAGAGUAAAACAUAUAUACUCAUUGUCAUUGAACUUGUCCCCAAUACCCGCAAAAAAAGAACAUUCUGAAAACUCAAUUUAGUCAUUGUAUUAUGAAAAUCAAAACUUAUGGUCCUUAUAUUUGACAAAAUGUCUCACGGAGGGUCACUGUCCCUGUAUUUAGACCAUAUUUGUAUGGCGCCCUUGACAGCUCAGCAAAUCUUUUCUGUUUUGGCUGCUGCGAAAUCCCACGAGGCAGUUUGGGUGCGAGGAACUAGGGAUUGGAGACGGGGAGGGAAAUUUUGUGGGGCCUCGUGGGAAAAUUCUUGUACAAACUGCCCAGCUUUAUGAUCCAAACGAGAGGCCACAGCCGAUCCAAACCCUGCGCUACCAGCAAAUUGCGUUUUACCUAAUGAGCCGAUAAAGGGCAUUCUUGUCUGAUCUCCAGCUAAUCGAACCUUAUCAGCCCGACGGGAAGCCAAGGCCACUCAAGAUUGUGGUAUCCGGCUUAGUCAUGAGCCGUGCGCAGUGUGAGAUUAAUUCCUGAUGCCUCCCAAGCAUAGUAUACAAUUAAUACUGAUGAUAUGUUUCGUGGUUAAUUUGUGUAACAGAUUCAAUUUCUGUGUGCGCUGGUGCAACUACAUGUUCACGGUCGAUGUAUAAAGUCAUAUGUGCUUCUUUGCCACAAGUAUAUAUAAUAUGUGUGGUGAUACCUUCUUGGGUUUCUGAGAAGAGAAAUUAAAGAAUAAAAAGGUGUGCACAUAUCAAGUGAGAUACGAGUGUGGUCUCAUGAAUGCAAAAUGAGAGAGUUAUGUGCAAUUAUAGAAUCGAGGUACGUACUUUAUGAAGGCUUUUAUCUCUACCUUUUGUUUUAUGGUGCUAUGUGUGCAUCAAGCUACCACUUUGCAGUGAAUCUUACUCACAUUAGAGGAGGGAGGGAAGGAAUAAUGAAGCGGCUGGUUUAAGUUUUGUGAAUCCUUACUCGCAAAAAGUAAAUGGUUUUAUGAAUCCUUACAAUUAAGGACAAAGAACUUAUGGUAGCUAGGAUUGCAAGAAAUUGGAGCAGUAGCUAGAGGAUAUAUUUAGAAUGAAAUACACCACUGGUUCAUAAACUCGGAGCGAAUGCACGGUUUAGUAAACGAACUCAGAAAACACACACAUAAAUCCGUAAACUCGUAUUAGUGUAACACUUAGGUCCAAAAACGGUUCAACGGGAUUAAUUUUGGCCACGUGGCAGCCACGUCAGCUUAAGCCAGGACCACGGGUUGCUGUUUGUUUUUUUUCGCAAAAAUUUAACAUUAAUUCUCCGUGUGUUACUAUUAAAUUAGCAAAAAAUUAACAUAAUUCUCUGCAGGUUGCUGUUAAAUUUUUGCUAAAACUUUCCCAAGAAACCCCAACGGCUUUUGUGGAGAGGGUACGGUAGUUAAAUAAGACAUAUCUCCAGUCUGAAUAGAUCAGGUCCUGCAAUCAUACUGACAUACCUGGAAAAUAAACAUCUUCCAAGUGCUGGACCACUUUGAUCUUUUACUUUGAGAUAUUUCGUAAUGGAGUAAACACUCUGUUAGGAGUGCUUAAUAAGAUGGCAUUAAUUAUUCAUAAUUCUUGUCUCAAAUUUGUCCAAAAAGUGAUGUAUCUAUUUCUAAAAAGUGUCUAGAUAAAUGUAAGAUUUCGACAAGAAUUAUGAAGCGGAGAGAGUAAUUAACUAGAAGGGAAUUAAAUAAUUAAUUUGGUUAAAAAAAACGAACAGAUCAACUGGGUUGGAUGGAAAUUGAGCAGCUGUUGCAUACAUGUGUUUGGGGUACCGUGAAAUCACUCAUUCGUGCGUAUCAGUUGAGUGAACAUGAAGGCAUGGGAAACAAUCGAUGCUUGUCAAAACAAUAGCGUAGCUGCACUUUAACCCACGGCUCGAGAGUCAGGUGGCGCACCGAGAUGGAAUAUUAUCACUGAUGAGAAAAUGCGGAAGUCCGACGAUCUCCAAGCCUAUAUGGUUUUCUUCCAUUUCCCUAUGUCUCCUUUUCCUACAAAUACAUACGAUUUCUGUAUAUAUGUGCAUACAUACAGUUCAUUCAUCCGGUCUCAUAUAUAUGUACGGUUGUUGUUGCCGCCGUACACAUUCGAAUAACUUGAAUCAAUGUGUGUAUGUCUUCUUCUGCUUCUGUUGCAAUUGCUUGCCAGCAUAUAUAUAUAUAGCCUGUGUACUACUCGAUCCGUACUAGCUAGGAAUGGGGUUAACAUGAUUCAUAAAAAGAAGUCGUACGUCAUCCUAACUUACAAACGAAUAAGUUUUUUGUGGUGCCUUAUUUGUAUUAUACCGUCGUUAUUAUGUUUUUUCUUUGUCCCAGGAAGUUUAUCCGUGAAGUGAAUACCAUUAUUUCUUCGAAUAAAGAGGAGUAAAUUUCACAAAACCAUUUUUUUUUGUUAGGGUUUCAUCGGGUUACAGUUAUCACUAAUAGUCUCACAAAACCACAGUUUUUGGGGCAAGCUGUCUCACAGAACCCAAAUUAGGUAGAUUAGGCCGUGUGAUGGUAUUUUUGACAGGUGGGACCCACUUGACAUAUGUCAAGUCAGACCCAUUUCGUUGCCACGUCAGCUUCCGGACCCAUUAAGGGUUAUUUCUCUACCUAAAUCGCCAUCUUGGGUUGGGUCCGGGAGCUGAUAUGGCAACGAAACGGGUUGUUCGCCUGAGGUGGCGUGUGACAGGUGGGCCCCACUUGUCAGAAAAACCAUUAAACGACAUAAUCUACCUGAUUUGGGUUCUGUGAGACAGAGUGUCCCAAAAACUGUGAUAACUGUGGCCCGAUGAAACCCUAACCUCAGGAAGUGUGGUUUUGUGAAAUUUACUCAAGAAAGAGAGCCAUGUCGUUGAUUCUGUACAUUACGGCCGUUUGUGUGGUUCGGUUUUCAACGCUUCGAGUCACAACCCCAUCUGGAGCGUGGAGGAAAUACAAAAGCUCAAUUCGGCCCAUCUCGCGGAGGAAGGUGGACUGGGCCGCGGCCCGGCCUGGCUCGAUUGCAGCGGGUAGUACACAAACACCGCCAAUGCCUAGAGGCCAGAAGAGGCGUAUCCUGUCGCAUUUUUCUGUGAGCUCCAGCUCCCUGAGCAGGCCGCCGACGAGCUUCGUGCGAGGGUGGAGGAGCAACGUCGGCAGGUCAAGGGAAGCUGCGAGUGGGUAGCCACAGGAGGAUGAGGUGCAUCGCCAUCUCUAAAGAAGAGACGCCCAAUGGCAACCGUCAAGCCGAGCAGCGGCAGGGGCAGAUGAGGGAAUCAGUGCUCGAUGUGCCUUCCGUGAGAAGAGAAAGUUUCCAUGGAAUUCCCAUUGCCUCCUUUUCCUACAUGCCACUGUUACACUUACACAUACAGUUGUUUUCCCAUCCUCCAUUUGAAUCACAUCGACAUUUUCCCAUUUUCUUGAAUGUAUGUAGCAAUUAAUCGUGCAUGUAGAUCUCAAAAACCAUGCAUGUUUGUUGAAUGAUUUAAUAAUGGAUAGAGUAAAACACACUCAUUGUCAUUAAAAUUGUCCCCAAUACCCACAAAAACGAAAGAAAAUUAAACUUGUCCCAAAAACUCAAUUUAGCUAUUGUAUUAUGAGAAUCGAGACUUAUGGUCCUUAUAUUUGACAUAAUGUCUUACGUAGGGUCAUUGUCCCUGUAUUUAGACCAUAUUCGUAUGGCGCCCUUGAUAACUCAGUGACUCUCUUCUGUUUUGGCUGCUGCGAAAUCCAGCCAUGCAGUUUAUGUGUGAGAAACUAGGGAUUGGAGACGGGAGGGAAAUUUUGUGAGGCCUUGUGGGAAGAUUCUUGUACAAACUGGCCAGCUUUAUGAUCCAAACGAGAGGCCACAGCCGAUCCAAACCCUGCGCUACCAGCAAAUUGCGUUUUAUCUAAUGAGCCGAUAAAGGGCAUUCUUGUCUGAUCUCUAGCUAAUCGAACCUUAUCAGCCCGAGCGCAGUGUGAGAUUAAUUCCUGAUGCCUCCCAAGCAUAUAUAGUAUACAAUACUGAUGAUAUGUGACAGUUUCGUGGUUAAUUUGUGUAACAGAUUCAGUUUGUGUGUGCGCUGGUGCAACUACAUGUCCACGGUCGACGUAUAAAGUCAUAUGCGCUUCUUUGCCACAAGUAUAUAUAAUAUGUGUGGUGAUACCUUCUUGGGAUUUUGAGAAAAGAAAUUAAAGAAUAACAAGGUGUGUACAUAUCAAGUGAGAUACGUACGAGUGUGGUCUCAUGAAUGCAAAAUGAGAGAGUUAUGUGCAAUUAUAGGACUGAAGUACUUUAUGGAGGCUUUUAUCUCUACCUUUUUGUUUUAUGGUGCUACGUGUGCAGCAAGCUACCACUUUGCAGUUAAUCUGAUGGCAUUAACUGACAACGAAGGACAAAGAACUUACGGUAGCUAGGAUUGCAAGAAAUUGGAGCGGUAGCUAGAGGAUAUAUUAAUGUUCCAACAUGGAUGAGCUCGUUGAAGAACAUGGAUCAUGUACCUUCAGUUUUAGUUUAUGCCUUGCUUGACAAAUAUUUCUUUUUUCGCCUUCUCAAUGAUCGAUCCGUUUGGUUACGUGCAACUCUAUUGAUAACAAUGGAAAUCAUAAUUAAUCUCUUCAAUUCUCUGCUGAAACUAUGACACAAAAAAGCUUACAUAUAUUCUAUGAGCUGCUGUUAAAGUAGAAGGUUCUGGAACAACUGUCGAAUUAUGACACAAAAUGACUGAGGUGCGGGAAUUAAAAGGGCAAGCAGUGAUGGUACGUGUUCCCUGUGCUAGCCAAUUGUUCUGAAGAAUGCCGCUGCAGGUCAUAAUGCGCUGCAGCAGCUGCGGCACGGUCGAGGAGGCGUCCGACGGCGGCGCGUCGAGCGGGACCGCAGCGGGAACAGCUAGACCUCAGUCCGAACUGACUUGCUCUUCCAUUAGUUUGGCCAAACUUCUUCAGAACUGAUGCUGCUAGUGCUUUUCGCCAUGGAUGGAUGUAGCGCCCUUGCUGGGUUUGUUUUUCUUGAAUUCGCAACCUGUUCACAGAAAUUCAGAUACGACUGGGGAAAUGCAGUAUAGGAUACUCUGAUGAUUGAGAGCACUGGGGCAAUGAUUUGGGGCAUUGAGGUUUUUGUUUAAAUUUCAUCCCUAUUUCCAUGUUUGUUUUGACUAUGCUGAUACUUGGUUGAAUUUACGACAUGUUUAUAGUAGUUCUUGUUCACUUGUUCAUAGAGCAGACAUUUGGAUGCGAUUUUGGGGAAAUGCAGAACAGAAUGUACUCUGCUUGGAGCAGAUACUUGAGAGGAAGAAAAAAUGGGGACAGAAGUGUACACAUGUCCAUUUGUUCCAGGACAAAAUAAGGAUGUUUACAGACAAAAUUUGAGUAUCUCAUCGAAUAUGCUAUCAGUUUGCACGGGCCACUGGCGAGCCGCCGCAGAGAGCGGGCUAGCUGUUUGGGUCUCUGCCGUCAAAGAUGCAUGUGCGUGCCAAAGGCGUGGACUCGUCGUCACCAUCUUGACGCCACCAUCGAUUCGAAAUUACCACGCAACCCUUAUCGCCCGGUAUUUCACAUAGUUCGCUCGCAUGGACGGGAUGGUACCGCUGGGCAACCUACCAUCGGUGUCUAAUGUUCUAUAUCUACAAUAGCCAAAACCAAAAGAGAUACAAACGAAAAAAGUGUGCAUCAUGCUAUCCCGGCCGUUACAAUAUGAAGGAGUGCCACCCAGGUAUGGCCAAAAACCCAUUGACGGUGGUAUGUGAUCAUCUAUGCUACCAAUUUCCUCCGAAAUCCCUGAUUUCCCAGUGCCUCCUUUUCCUACAUAUAAUUGCACACGACUGAAGGCAUGUGACAUUAUACAUACGUACUGUAGUUUUCCUUUGGAUCGAUAUAUUUGGCUAUAUUUAUAUAUAUAAUAUAACCACAAGUUGCAUAUGGCCGGCACAAGCGAUCCAGGUCCAAUUAAUAUAUUUACUGAUAGGCUGACAUAUGGUUGGUACGUAGGUUGCAAUGCAUGUGCUUGUAUCCGAGUGGACAGGAGUGGAACAGACAUCAAAUUGAUGUCACCACACACCAUGUCUUGGUCAACAAAUUCACCUUUUGAAAAUAAUAAUCUGCUCCUCCAAUGAUCCCCAAUUUUCUGGAGCCGGAUCCAGUGCCCUGACGUGGUGAAGGCACCGCAUGCCCUGCGGCCUUCCAUCCACCAUCCACUGAGAUCGAACGGCUAGCAGCCCAUAACAUGUAAAAAUCCCACGAGCGCAACAGAGGAAGCAGCGGGCCUGCCGUCGCCGCCGCCGCCAGCGCGGGAGGAGGAGGAGAGCAAGCUCUGCCGGUCGCCCCUGGCUCCUCCGCCCCCGGUCUGACGGCCUCCCUCGCCCCGUCUCUCCGUGCCCCGACGGCCUCCACCUGCCCCGACGGCCUCGUCUGCCCGCCUCUCCCGGCUCCGAUGGUGGGAGAAAUUGGUCGACGGCCUCGUCCGCCCGCUUCUCCUCAGCCCCGGUCCAACGGCCUCCCUCGCCCCAGCUCUCCGUGCCCCGACGGCCUCGGCCACCCGCUGCCGCCGGACUGCAGCAGUGGAAGUAAAAAGAAGAACGGAAUCGCAAUCUGAAUUUGAGGCAAGGAAGAAUUUGAGGCAACUUAUAAAUUUCAAUUGCUCAGACCGUAUAUUAUGUCCUUGUAAAAAAUUCAGUUCUUCAGAUUUGACUUUCAAGGUUUGUUCUUAUUGAAACCUGUUGUAUGCCCUAUUGUUCAGAUUUCAAUUAUUCAGGCGUAUAAAAGUGUUCCGUUUUUGAUUGAUAUUUGUCUUUGCAAAAUUUACGAUUGUUCAGAAUUUCAGAUGGCUUGUAUAAACCUGCUGCUGUACUACUGUUCUUCUGCCUAAACCUCCUGUUCAAGUCGUUGUGUCUAAAAUCGUUUCCGGCCGUCCGAUCUCAAUGAAUGGUGGAUGGAAGGCCGCAGGGCACGCGGCGUCUUCACCACGGCAGGGCACUGGAUCCGGGCUCCAAUUUUCCUUGGCUAGCAUUUUUCUCAGAAGCAAACUAGCUCGGUCCUAAUUUACUUAAUUGCACCUAAACCAAUUGUAUUUUUGUAAUCUCCAUUAGUUUGUAUGUUCACAACUUUUGUGGAGAGGGGACGGGUAGUUAAAUACUAAGACAUGUCUCCAGUGUGGAUAGAUCGGGUCCUGCAAUCAUGCGGACUUCACUUGGACAUACGUGGAAAAUAAACAUCUUGCAAGUGCUGGACCACUUUGAUCUUUUGUUUUUCGUAAUAAAGAGAGGCAGUGAGUCACUCGUCGUUGAUUCUGUACAUUACGGCUCUUUGCGUGGUUUGGUUUUCAACACUUCGAGUCGCAGCCCAUCUAGAGCGUGGAGGAAAUACAAAAGCUCCAUUCGGCCCAGAUAGCGGAAGAAGGUGGACUGGGCCGCGGGCCGGCCCAGUUCGAGUCGAGCCCGAGACGCCACUGGAGGAUGAGGUGCAUCCCCAUCUCUGAAGAAGAGACGCCCAAUGGCCACCGUCAAGCCGAGCGGCGGCAGGGGCAUAUGAGGGAAUCAGUGCUCGAUGAGCCUUCUGUGAGAACAUAUACUUUCCAUCGAAUUCCCAUUGCCUCCUUUUCCUAAAUGCCAGUGUCACACUUGCACAUACAGCUGAGAGACACACAUGCAUGCAACAUUAUUUUUACAUACAGUUGAUCGAUGUUGGCUGUAUAAACUUAUAUAGACCACACAUUGCAAAUGCAUGAUGCAUGGCCGGUACGAGAGAAAGCAGCUCCAAUUAAUUGAAAUGUAUUUAUUACUGGCUUGGCAUGCGUUGGCAUGAAGAUAUAUACAGUGGACUUUUCUCACCGGUGAUCAUCUGGACAUGAUCCUCUCCUCCCUGUCCUCGCUCUCGGGGUGCGCCUAGCUAGCGCUGGUGGACGGUACAACAAAUGAAAAAAAGGUGCAUCACACUAUUUGGGACGGUACAUUCAGGAGCAAAGUGACUGAGGCACACGGGAAAAGGCAAUGGUACAUGUUGCCCCUGUCCUAGCCAAUUGCUCUGAAUUCCCCUGUUUCUUACUGCCUCCUUUUCCUGGAUACACCUAUAUGCACGAUUUUUCUACACGCAUACAGUUUAUGCAUAUAUUUAAGUUGUGCUUUAGAUAUAUUUGGUUGUCUAUAUCAACUUAUAUGUGUAGCCUUCUCGCAAAACAAAACAUAUAUAGAUAGCCACGCAUUGUCACAUUGCAUCGCCAGAAGGUAUGAGAGAACAGAGAAGGCUCCAAUUAAUGUACUAGUGUUUGCUAGCGCGGCUUGGCAUGCAGCUGGUGUGGAGGUUUCAAUACAAUUUUUGUUAGUUAACAGAGAAAAAUACUUUUCUAUCCUUCAACUUUCAAAAGUGCACGCAGUCCGUCCUUCAACUUUUAAAAUCGGACAGACCAAAAAUGGUAUGGUUUCUCCCCAAACCCACCACGGUGGAUGGUUUCUAUCCCACCAUACUCGCCGACGGGCAGGAAUCCGCCGCCACAUCCGAAGAUGAUGACCUUGGACCCGUCGGUGUCCUACCCCAUCUGCCUUGAGAUUGCGAACACGUCAUCUCUGUCGUCCAUCAUUUCAGCCUUUCAGGUCUAAAAAGCAUUCAAGAUGACGGGUUCCAACUUUAUUGAAACCAUAAAUAGGUAAGUUCAGAGUAUUCAUUGUGCCGAAGUUACAGAAAAGAAGCACGCGGCUUUUACAGCUCAAGUAAAACGAUCGACGAGCAUCAAAUGGUGGAGCCCGAGCAAACACUGAACUCUUUUCCAGCACCUUGUGCAGCUUGGCCUUCAGAAAACAUCCUGUGCAGCAGCACCUUGUGCAACUUGCUACAGCUAGCCUGAUCGAGCCUCUGUACAGAUUCAACAACCAAUCCACUAGUAUUCCGUGGAAAAUAAAUUAUCCACCAUAAUUUAUCUCAUAAAUAGUUGUCGAUUUGCAAGAGCAAGUUGGUUUCUGCAGAUAACCGAGUACUGAGUCUCGUGUUAGACGCAGAUUAAGAAGAUGCGUCGUACACUUCGUUUCAUCACAAAUUUAAUCGAGGGCAACAACGACAAAUAUUACUAAUCAGCCUUGAUUCCAUAUGAUUACAUCCGAAGAAGGCGCAUUUGGUUGAUUGCCGAACAGUGGUUCAAAUUAGCCAGAUUUGUACAUCUUCACGGGUUGUUUGUCAAACCAGCCAAGCUGGUUCAGCCUGCGGGUCAACACCUUGAUACUCAGCGUGAAAUUCUCGAUACCUCCCAAGCUUAUAUUAUCCAUGAUUUGUGACAGCCCCGCGAUAUUUAUAUAUCAGUGUGUCACCAAAUUUGUGUGCAUGCAUGCUAGCUAGUGAAAGUACACACAUGACACAUCAUGACCACAACACACUUGGGGCUGUGCUGCAACAUGAGCUCCUCCUCACUGUCACCGACCGGUAUAUAUAACCUGCCCCUAUAGCUUCUAUGGGUUUAACUCUGAGGAGAGAGUGGCGGAAUUGAAGACAGAAAGUUGUACUAUCUCGAUCUAUAUUAUUUGUCGCAAUCUUUUCUAGACAUGCAUGUACCUACACAAUAAAACACGUUAGCCGCGACAAGUAAUAUGGAUCAGAAAGAGUAGUUAAUAUAUAUAAGUAUGAUUCGUUGCGCACAUUCAUGUAUUUGGAAGUAGUUGAUGGUUCACUUUGAAACAGCGAAGGUACAUAAUGUCCGUACGAUACUUUUACAAAGAUGACUCAUCUCUUUUUGUGGGCCAUUGGAAAACAACAAGCGAUUCAGGUGCUGAUUUACUGAAAGUCGUACACCAGGCAUUUCCGACUUUCAAAACCGAUUUCUCUCGUCCGAACAACCAUAUAGCUCAAAUGCUAGCUCUUUUUUUUUGAUGAAUUCAUGACAUUUUUGCACAUGUGUCAUUAUCUUGCCAAUGACGAUAAACGACGGCACUGCAUGUCUGCCUUUGACAUCCAUCUAUAGCACUAUAGAUAGCAGGCCAAAAAUAGUAUGCAGUGGCUUUGGCAUGGAAGCAACUACGUACGCAACUUCUGUAUCUGUACUUCCUCGGUAUCGCGUUUUUAGAAGCUAUACUACUCACUUGAUUCACAAAUUGUGGUUUACUCCAAAUUAUUUUCUCUUCUAAAGUCUAUUUUAUUCCCAAAUUAAAUUGACACAAGUAAUUAAAUUUAUGCAAGGUACGUAGACUUUAGUGAAUGCAAAGAGGCAAGGAAUGAAGUGGCUGGUUUAAGUGUCUGUGGAUCUCGGCUGACUGAGAACCGGAACUUCUUUUUUUUUAUUAAUGGAUGAAUGAGAACUGAACUACUAGUACUAAGUGGAAAGAAGUUGAAGGCGGUUGCUUCAGCAAGCAUCUCUGGCGUGAGAGGAGAGCCAGCGAUUUGUAACAGUCAGGUAUCUUCAGAAGCGUGGAGAUGUAGCAGCAAAAAGUUGUUAUCUGCUCCUCCAUCUUGGCCCCGUUUAACUUCUCGCCACAGUACUGUGAAACCCUGACCUGGCACCGUUUGAUCCUCUCGGUCCGCUCAAGCAUAUAGGCGGGCAGAUAUGCAAGUAUAGCCACGAUGCUUGUCAGAACAAGUUCGCACCUGGGCUUCAACACACGGUUUGAGAGCCAGGCGGCGUGCCGAGAUGGAAUUUUCUCACCGUUCCGUCACAUUUCCCUCUGCCUCCUUUUCCUACGUAUACGCUACGAUUGUUGUAUUCACAUACAUGCAUGCAUGGAAUUCAUGCAUGCCUGCCAUCUCUAUACGGUAAUACUACUAUAUAGAUGUUCACGGCUGUAUACAGUAUACUAAUUUAGAUCGGGUGUUUACAUGUUCUUCUUAUAUAUACUUCCGUUGGUAGCCAGCAUGCAUGUAUAUACUUUCUUCGUCCCAAAUUAACUGUCGUGGAUUUGCAUAUCCACGACAGUUAAUUUGGGACGGAGGAAGUGUAUACUUGUGAGCUACGAGCAGAUAAACUAGAAAACAUGGUGGUGUUGCGGUGUUGAUGCCAUGAAGGUGCAAACAUUAAGUCGUAAAUUAAAGGAAGGAACGUUCCCCUAAAAAAAUAAUUAAAGGAACGUUACUUUAAGUUCUAAUUUGCCACUAGUGUAGAUUGCAAGAGAGGGAGUACGAUUAUAUACGAAAAUGCAUUAAUAUACGAGCACAGUCAAUGCAACCAAUGAUCAGAAGACAUGAAUGCCAUGGGGCCCACCAACAUCAGGACAAAAAAAGACAGUACUCAAUGACGUGGACUGAUAUGCACGAAUCUAAAGCAGACAUUCAUGGUGGAUUCUUUACUCGUAGGUCUCGGACUUGAUAAUAAAAUUGACUUGUACUAGUACGUGUAUAUACAGCAGCACCACCAUUAACUGGGCUUUGAAUGCAGAAUGCAUCGCUGGGCUUUGAAGGCUCGGGCACAGCGGGCCGGAUGUGGAGGCAGGUGGAGGGACGGCCCAUUGCUCGAGUAGAGCACGCAGAGGAGCAGGAAGGCUCUACUUUCUGGACCAGGAAGGCUCUACUUUCUGGGCGCAGACGACCAACGGCGGCUGAUCGGAGAAGUUUUUGGGUCCGUACGGCCCAUUGGCUGAGUGGACGUGCGGAGAAGGAGCCAGAAGGAAACUUUUUCAAGCUUGUGGAAAUUAAUCAACUUGACUGUUCGUUCUUCACUUGACAUUACAUCUCAUCUGAAUACAAUGUCUCAUCGAUCAUUCCUAGACCUUUGGACAGUUUCGAUAAACUACUCCUAUGCACAUCAGCAAGAGCAUGAUGCUCAAUGGAAUUGUAGUGGAAUGCAACACAAUUUGAGACCCAUUAUUGUGCAAGUCAGAAUGGUACUGACGGCCAUAGACAGAUGGAAAAAAGACGUUUUCAAUGAUUUCCCGGUGCCUCCCUUUCCAACUUACAUGUGAAAAGUUGUUGUGCAUUACUCUACGCCAAAUAGAUUAACUUGGAUAUGCCUAGUCUAUUUCUACUGCGUGCUGAAUACUACAAAAUGCUCCUGCCAAAAGCGGUACAUUUUUUGGUCCAGGGACGGAGCCAGAAAUUCAACAUGAGGAGAGCGAUUUGGGUUUAGGGGGACGAAAUUAGAGAGCUAACCUAUUUUUAAGGGAUUCUUAAUAAACCAAUUAGUGCAUAUUAAACAAAACAAAUUUUAUAGGGGGGCAAAGCCCCCCGACGCCCCCUUGUCUCCGUUCCUGUUUUGUCCACAUGUGAUGGUUUCUCCCUGAAUCCAUCACCGUGGAUGGUUCUCUAUCCCACCAUACUUGCCGACGGGCAUGAAGCCGCCACCACAUCUGAGGAGGAUGAGUUGGACCCGUCGGUGUCCUACCCCCAUCUGCCUUGAGAUGGCGAACAUGUCAUCGCCGCCGUCCCAUCAUCAUCCACACGGGCGGUGGCCACAUCGACAAGGAUGAGAAAGCGAAGAAACAAAAGGAACUGCCAGGACAACGCCCAGCAGAACCAGCACUCCAACCACGGACCAAAUUACAGCUAUUAACAAAGUACCAAAACUUCAGAAUUAACAGACUUUCAGCCAAAAAAAACUCUCUAGAUUGCUUCCAGUCUUUUCAACACCCCCCAGCUGUGAGACUUGUUCAAAAUGUCGGUCACUGUCCCCUGCAGCGUCACAGGAUCAGAUGAGAGCAGCUUCAGCAAGCAUCUCUGGUGUUGUGAGGGGAGCCGGCAAUUUGGACCAAGCGAUCCACAGGCAGUGAGGUGUCUUCAGAAGCGUGGAGAUGAGGGAGCAGAAAUUGAAGUUGUUAUCUGCUCCUCCAUCUUGGCCUCGUUUAACCUCUCGCCACACUGUGUGCAGGCCAAUUGGGUACGUCCUGCUGCCCUUCAGUUUGCCCUAGACGAGAUUUAUCCAAGAAAGAAGGAAAGAAACUCUGAUCUGGCACCAUUUGAAAUUGUGGCGCCGCUCAAGCAGAUAGGUGGGCAGACAUGCAAGCAUAGCCACGAUGCCCGUCUCUACACCUUCGUGCCCGGGCUUCAACACACGGCUUGAAAGACAGGUAGCGUUCCAAGAUGGAAUUUUCUCGCCCAUGAUAUCCUGAACAUAAUUGUUUCGUCACAUUUCCUGGUGCCUCCUUUUCCUACCAAUUCAUGCAUGUGAUCUCAUACGUAUGAAUAUACACGGUAGUAGCUGUUCGCUGCUGUAUACUAAUUUGGAUCGGGUGUGUAUAUGUUUUUUUUAUGCUUCCAUUAAGUUGAUGGCCAACAUGCAUAUACAUAAGUACAUAUACAUAUAUACCAUGUUCGAUACCGGUACAGCAUUGAGGCUUUGCUGGCAGCGUGCACAUACAUAUAUAUACAUAGACCUCUAACACUACCCGUUUUCUCUCAUUUCCCAGUGCCUCCCUUUCCAACUUAUUCAAAAAGUACAGUACAUGUGAAAGGUUGCUCUGAAUAACUACGCGCCAAAUAGAUUAACUUGGAUAUGACGACUAGUCUAUUUCUACUGCGUACUGGAUACUACAAAAUGGACUAGGUGGGCUCUGUAUUUAUUUAUAUGGAAGCUGCUAGGGAGAGGAACACAUCGACCCCAUAUAUUCAACCGUCGAUUCGAGGAGGGGCUCGAUCGGGGUUUUCUAAAGUAAUCAUUCCUCUCGUACGUUUCUUGACUAUCUUUUCCUUUAGUAACAAGGUAGUUUUGGGUCCCGUCCUAAUGGUUCCUGACCUGACAAUAGGCGGCCAGCAAUUAAGCGGCGCAUUGGCCAGUGACCAUGGACAUACAAUCACUUAAAUGCAAUCCCCGGCCUUGCAGUGCAUAACUACUGAUAUAUAUAAUCGCCGAUUAAUUAGUGAUGGAAUUGGUAUGUCUAAGAAGAGAGCUGCAACCAUUCAUGGUUAAUUAUAAAAGCCUAAAAUCCAUAAAACAAUCAGACUCUAGAACGGAUUACGAUAUCUCGCAUGUUUUAUCAAGAUUAAUUGCUGAAGUCAUGCAAUCUCGUACUUACAUACAGUAGCUGUUCUUUCCAUUGAUAUAUAUAUUCUGCACCCCCAGCCGAUUGAGGCUUGAGGACCAGCCAGGAUUCGUUCGCUAACCCAGGCGGCCAAACACAAAUGUUGCAUGCGACCUAAGAAACUUACGUCCGACCGAUCGAGCGCACGUCCGGACGUCUCGCGCGCUGGAGCGGUUAUUUUGCAUGCGACAUGAUAAUAUUACGUUGGCUUCCGGCGACAUAAUUUGCAACGCAAGGGCAAUUUGUUUUGCAUGUGUGACGUAAGAAACUUAUGUUGGCAGCUUCCAGUGUAAUUGGCCAGGAGGUUGUAAGAUUAUGUUGCAUUCAACGAUUUCUAUUUUUAGCGAGUAAAUGCCUAAUAUUACACGGGGCAGUAAUACAUUAAUUCAUAUUGCGCCAAAGCUUUUAGCCAAUCUUAAAAAAAACAAUUAGCCAAUCACUGAAGUAAGAAAUCUUGGUACAAUAUAAAAUAGAAAAUCGAUGUUAAAAGCAGCUGUACCCUAAUUAGACACAAAAUACCCAUAAGAAUUCUCAAUGCCAAUAAAUACAAACUCCAGGUCAACGUAAGAAUUCUAAGUGCCAACAUAAAAUACAAAUUCUUUGUACAGAAGGUAGACGAUUAACAGUUAGCCAUACUCCAUUCGACUUGUUACCAUCUAACAUAAUGCCACUGGCCCUCGGUUCACAUAAGGAUCUCGCGAAAGCAAGCGCUGUGGUAGAUUGGCAGUUUUAUGGUGCCCCUUUAUUUUAUUUCAAAUGGCCACCACAUGGUACCAAGCAGAGCUGUCAGUUCAGCAACCUGCAUAUACGGAGAAUAAGCUAAACCUCUUCAACAAUGGAAUAGAAGAAUUAUCUAAGCACUGGAGCUCCACAAACAUAGACUUUUACCAAGAGGUAAGAUUAUUGCCAUGGUACAUUAGGCCAGGUAGUAAGAAGUCAACAGAUCUGACCUCCAUUGCCUCAUCACCAACAUGAUCUUGGCAAGCAGGGUACACUCCAUCUUCCAAAUGAGUUUCACUGUAGAGUAAAAAACAACAGAACGCUAAAAAAAAAACAGAAGUUGCAUUCUGAAAUAUUAAGUAAGAGAAGAAAUUGAGCUAACUAAGUGUCUUACAUGAUCAAACCAUGUCCGAACAUUGUCACCAGAAAAAACAAAAGCUAUAUUCGAACAGUUAAGGAAUCUAGCUACAAUCAAACAACAAAAUACAUAGCUAGAAGCCACCUAUGCAUUGCAGGUUGAAUAUCGGAGGAACUGAAAAUAUGUCCUUACACUAUUGCACACAAUGCACAUAUAUUACAGCUGAGUAUGUCGUGUUCCAGCCAUGAUUCAGUGAUUUUGGUGUGUGUGUUUACAAGUUUUUUGAGUUUGAACUCAACAACAACUGCUUUCUACACUACCGAAACAAUAGACGUUUUCUGCAUUACUGAAAAUCAGCACCUCCUGAAAUCUGCAUUAGCUUUUUUCAGUUGCAUUGAAUGGCAGAAAAUGAACCUCUUGAAUUCCAGCAGGAGCUUUUUAUCGAACAAACCAAGUCCGAAAAGAAAAGGAAAAAGGAAAAUAGCAGUAUAUCACAAACAUAAAUGAUGUUGGAUAUACUACCUUGGGGUCAGCAAGCACACCAAUCAUCGUGGCAUCUAUCUCAAGCUGAUUAUCUAUACACGAAGCUCUGGCGGCCAUUAGUAUACAGUGUCCUGAUCAAUGCCCCUUUGGAAAAACUGAUUCAGUUAAGAACAUGUUAAUUGAGAUGACCUAUAUCAUGACAAGGCUGUUCUACUGACAAGUAAAUAUCAGAAGCCUAACCUCUAUAAGAUUCUUGUCCACAGCCAACUUGUUCAAGGUUACUGUCCGUGUCUUGUCACUACACGGAACAUCCAUGCCAGCCAUCUCCUCAAUUCCUGUCAUCCUCUUUGUAAUUGCUCCAUGACACCAACUUGUCUCCAUAUAUCUCAAAAUAAACUGAAAUAAUGAAGAAUCAGAUGAUCCUCCAUGGAGAUAAAAUCAUACGAUCUCAGUAAAACAUAGCACAUGAUUUACAUUUAGUACUGUUGGAGAAAUCAAUGAUUAGAGGAGAUACGUACACACUUUAUUCACAUAUGUUCAUGUUAGAGAUUUCAUCAAACACCUUGAAGGCAUACUAAGAUUCAGAGUCAGCACAUUUACAUACCACAUUGGUGCCAUCCCGCGCACUUGAAACAGAAAAAGAGGAAAGCCAAGCAAGAAUUAACCGUGCCAUCCAUACAAGUAUUGGGGGAAUUAAAUUGGUUAAACCUGAACAGGACGUUGGAGAGCUGCAGGGGGAUCUGGAUGGAGAGACCUGAAGGCAUCAAUGGGAGGAAGCGGAAAGCAGGAGAAGAGAAAACGAGCAGAGCUGAGAAAGUGAGAAGCACCUCCGAAAAUAAAUUCUCCAGAUCGCUGCCUCACUCUGGAGUGGAGUGGAGUUCGUCGACGCACAGAGGGUGCAGGCCGGCCACCAAAUCCCCUCCAGUAACAGAGCCGCUGCCUCCGCCGCAGCCCACGGUGGCGUGGCGUCACUGGCUCGCCUCCCCGAACUGUCGGCAGACGCGGACUAGGGAUGCGUCGGUGCUCUUGCUCGCCGCUCCUCCCCGUCGUUGCCGCUGCAGCCGCUGCCGCCGCCUAGGCUCGCCGCAAUUCCCGAAGAAACCGCCUUUUUGGUACUACCAGGGGUAAUUACCCCCUAAACAUCAGUCGUCCAUCAGGCUCCGACGAAUCCAACUCUGAUCGGGUUAUUGGAUUUGGUUCUACCCGAUAGCCAGCAAGCUAAUUAUUUUCUAAUUAAUUAAUCCAGUCUGUUUGUUACGUGGAUGUUCCAACAACCAACACCUAUCGCCAUGAAUCCAGCAAUUUGGUUGGGCUUGCUGCCUACCCUUCGCUCUAUAUAAGGCCAGGCACUAGAGGGGAGGGUGCGAGGGCGGCCAGGCGGAGUGCAGAGGCGCAGAGCAGAAGAUUGCAUGGACGCAGAUUGAGCAGCUCCUCUUAAUCUAUCAGCACGAGUACUGCUUUUGCUACAGUAUGUGGUGUACUACUUUGUUGCAGCUCCCAACCAUGAAAUCUCUAGAAACUUUGAAGGUGUUCUACCGUGUGAUUGCAAACUUUUGUUGAUUGUUUUCCAGGGAUGCAACUUUCUAUCUGCUCCAAUACCGAAAAAGAUGAAGAUGAAUUUUAUGAACGCAAGGAGUUAGGCCCGGAGUAUAUAGUAUGGAGUUUACAGAAUGUUGCAUCAACAACAACACAAGGAUGGAGUAUAUAGAAUGUUGUAUGAACAACAGAAGUAUGAAGUAUGUAGUACCAUGCAUUUAGUAUGAAGAAUAUAAUCAGCAAAAAAAAAAAGUAUGAAGAAUGUAGAAGGUAGUAUGGAGUAUAUUCACAAGCAGUAUAUAGAAGGAAGUAUGUAGUAUAUAGAAGGUACUGUAGGACAUAUAUUAGAAUGUACUCAUGUAUGGAGAGUAUAUAUAAACAAAGAAGUAGUAGUAUGGAGUAUAUAUCCAAGAAAAGUAGUAAAUAGUAUAUAGUACAUCAAUACAAAAUAAUUUUCCUAUGCAGUAUACAUCACAACUAAUUAAUGAUGAUUACAAAUAGUUGUCUCUACGAUAGCCAUGCACACAGCACACGAGAUGGCUAGCCUCGUAGAAAUGAUCAUAUUUGUCUUCUCUCCGUACGUACAUGCGUAGAUGCAUCACCCAUGAGUUCGUCUCUCUAUGUUGCUACUCCUGUCUGCUGCCUUGACCGAUCUAGGUGGAAAAAAAAGAAAGUGGUUCAAGGGACUGUGAGAUCGAGAUAGGUGUGUGUGUGUGUGAAUGAUUGCGCGAAACCAAAUUAAAACUUUUUCCGAAAGUUCAGACCCUAAAUCAUCUUUCUGUCCGUGAUGGUAAAACAGCCGUAACUUUUGAUUGCAUGAACCAAAAAAUACGUAUGAGUAUGCAAAAGAAAGGUAUUGAAAUUAUCUAACCAACGCAACAAGAAUCAGCUCAAUCGGACGUACCAAUCAAAAGAUAUGAUCAAAAUAGUAACAGCUGACAGAAAGUUACGAGGAUUAAUUUAAAACCAAUUUCGAGGAAUAACAAGAAAGAUGAAGUAAUCGCGAUCUUCCUUGAUCUCGUGGUAAACCUGCAGAAAAGUAUUAUGAACUCGUGAUAAACCUGCAACAAAGUGUUAGAAAGAUCUAGCACGAAGAAUUCACGAAGAUCCGAAAAGAACAGAAAUGACACCGCCAACGAAUCUCUUUAUUGCAACGAUGUCGAUCGAUUACAAAAGAUGCAACCAUGCAUCCAAGAACUCUCCAAGAAUUGAUCUAAAUCCAAAGCUCUGAGUUCUCUCACGUCCUUACUAAAACCCUAGAUAGGAUGCCCUCUAUUUAUAAAGGAAAAUUCGCGACCUUAAACCGAGUCCGAAUCCAACAUGAACUCCUCUGUCCCAGUCGGUAUUUUGCUCGUGGGGCCCGCAUACAACCUCGGAUUGAGAUUACUCCAAAAUAAAAGUUGUUCGUCUCGACGACGCGCACAACUUUCAUGUAGACCACUUUUCCAUCCGACGCCAUCUUGAUGAUGCUACUGUUUAAUCUUUAAACAGCUCUCAUCUAGCCACGGCUGAACCUACAUAUCUUCACGUCGAUGCCACUCCAUGCCAUCAACUCUUUUUGUGAUGUCUUCAAAACUCGACCAUCACGUAUCGAAUAUCUCCAAUACCAUACAUAUCCGGUAUAAACAACAUACGACAAACCGGUGCCCUCCCGGAUCAUCGUAGCUUUCACUUCCAUUGUUCCUUCACACGAACGUCCCGCAUGACCUUGAUCCUCGACCUCAGCUUCUCUCAAGUUUCGUCCCUCGAUCCCGUCAUCGACCAUGUUCUUCUAGCUUCGGCAACACCUGAAAGCGAACACACAAAUAACCAGUACGAGCACAAGUCCACGACUUGACUCAGGGUAAGUUUCACACAACUCACGCCAUGUACAUUUGGCUAUGGAAUACUCUUGUCUAUAUUUAUAACCAUUAGUUGCAUGAUGGAGGUAAUCUUCCUGAUACUUGAAAAGAAUCGAACAGCCGUUGCAUACAUGUAUGACGAAGUAUCCGGUGAAAACCUUCAUUCGGUGCAAACCGUGCAAACUCCAUAAAAACCACGUUUAGAAGUUUCCAAAAAAUUCUAAAAAAUAUCAUAUGUUGGGACUGUGAUGUUCUACAAACCUGCAAAAUUUCAAGUUCAAAAUCAAAAGCAUAUGGGAGAAAUUAAAAAGAGAAAUUUACAAUGAAUAGUGUCAAACACUGAAAAACCACUAUUCAUGCAGAAUUUGUCUUUUUCGCUGCUACCAAAUAAAAUUGAGUUUGGACUUUAAAUUUUACACAUAUAUAAAAUAUGAAUUUUCUAACACAUGUGAUUUUUUUAAGAAUUUUUUGAACUUUUUUCGAUGAAGUUUUCACGUUUGCACCGUAGAAGUGGUUUUCACCGGAUACAUGUAUUUUGAAGAAAAAUCAGGAAAAGGAAGAAUCCCUCGUCAUGCUUAACAAACAACACCCACCAGUCCACGCCAUCCGUGCAUAUCAGGCGAAUAAACAUGCAAGUAUAGGAAACAAUCGAUGCUAGUCUCAACAACAGUGUGGCCGGAUUUGAACUCAGGAUUUGAGAGCCACGUGGCAUGCCAAGUCACUGAUGAUUUCCAUAAUACAGGGUCUUGAGACGUUCUCCAAGACUUGACCGUUCUCUCCCAUUUUCCAGUGCCUCCUUUUCCUACAUAUACAUAAGGCCGGUUGUUUACUUAAUUUAUGUGCAUACAUACAGUUCAUUCAUCUGAUCGUAGUUUUGCCACUCUCUAUCACAUUCACGUAUGGUUGUGUACUAACUUUGGACCUGGAUGUGUAUAUGUCUUCUUCUGCUUCCGUUGCUAUAGCCAGCAUAUAUAUAGCUAGCUUGUGUACUACUCGAUCGGUACUACUGGUGUUAAUGUCACGCAUUCAUAAAAAGAAGUUGUACGUCCUUCUAACUUACAAACUUACAAAUUAAUGGAGAUGAAAAAGAAGUCAUGAAUGUUGUUUUGCCAUUAUUUCUUUAAAUAAAAAGAGCCGCUUCUCUUGUUUUUUCGUAGGAAGAGACACUUCUCAUUGAUUCGGUACAUUACGGCCGUUUGCAUUGUUCGGUUUUUAACCCUCGCGUCACAGGCCAUCUCGAGCGUGUUUGAAAUACAAUAGCUCCAUUCGGCCCAGAUCGCGGAAAAAAGGUGAACUGGGCUGCGGCCGGGCCCAUCUUGAGCGAUUAUCAACAAGAACACGCUUCGCGAUCCCUAUCCAGAAAAAAAAACAAGGUUCCCUAAAAAAAACAGCCAGAGAAUCCUCCGCCGAGGCCCUUCCUCCAAUCGAGUUUCCGUAAUAUAUCCCUUUAAAAAAAGUAAAAAAAAAAAUCGUGUUUCUACUCCUCCAAUGAUCCCAAUUUUCGUUGGCUAGCCUUUUUUUCACAAUCAACUGGCUAGCCUGGUCCAACUUUGUUUAAUUGGACCUGAAACAAUUGGAGUAUUUUUUAAUCUCUAUUAAUUUGUAUGUUCACAACUUUUUGUGGAGAAGUUAUGGUGGUUAAAUACUCUCUCCAUACACAAAUAAGUGUGCAUCUAGUUUGGUCCUAAGUCAAACUUUUCUUGGUUUGACCAAUUUUUUUAAAAGAGUAACAACACAUAUGACGUCAAAUCAGUAUAUUAUAAAAAUUACAUUUUAAAAUGAAUCUAAUGAUGCUAAUUUGAUGUUAUAAAUGUUGCCACAUUUUUUAAUAAAGUCGGUCAAAUUUUGAUAUCUUUGACUUCGAACAAACCUAAAAAUACGCUGGACGGAUGAAGUCGGGCUUAAAACAACUUCACGGCUUCAACGUGCAUCAAGUAAGUCACUGAUUUUCUCGAUAUGUGUCCAUUGUCAAGAUGCAUCAAUAUGUGUGAUUGGUUCUUUCCUGUGAGGAGCUGCAUCUGUUUUGUGCUUUUUAUUGGGUGUAUAUAUGUUUUUGGAAUUUCAAGAUUACUGUGUGCUGCUGCUCUGCUUCUGCUUGCAGCCGGCCACUGCUGCUCUGCUUGCUGCUCUCUUCAAACAUGCAUAAGUAUAUUGAGCAGUUGAUCAAUCAUUUUACAGAAUCAUAAGUUUUGGUGAGUUUGAUAUCAUAUCAGUGCAACAAACUAAAGAUUAGACCGCAAGCUGGCUGAUCUUGUGUACACAAGUACCAGAUAUAAAAACCAAGGGUAAUGUGAGUACUCUAGAGAACUAAACCAUGUGCCAAAAAAAUUAUGUAACUUGCUAAUUAUUAAUUAAGCAGCUAUUUGAAUGACAAAGUGAUACUUCACAUAACUGGUUAAUCAGCAAAGCAGUUGAUCACAUAGUUCACACAUGAAGAAACCUUGUAGCUACAGCUUUUCAGAAACCCUGUUCAUCAUCCUGCUGGUGUGAAUAUCUAAGCCAAAAUAACAAAUUAAGUAACCGAUGCAUGCAAUUUCUUGUGAUGGUUAACAUAUAAGAGACAUGAUUUAUGCUUACCUGUAGCUACAGCCUGCAACAAGGGCACGACGCCUAUACCUACUCAUACUUGCUCGUUGUGUUUGGGGCGUAGGAGAUCAUCACUACUAAUCAUUUUAUCUUAGAGACUAAUUACUUUUGGAGAAACUAAUGCUAAGGUUGCAGCAGGGCAAUGAAAAAUCAAACCCCUUCGCAUCGAGCUCAAGUGCACCAUUGCCAUAUGUCUCCUCUUCAGAUGUCUUAAAGAUGCAAAUGGAUCAUGAACAAGGAUUGUAGAGAUCAAGCAAUGUAAACAUGGUGCUCAUGCCACUUUCGCAUUCUAUGUUGUUCAUAGAUCCUCGGCAUGUUGUCAUAUUUAGUACUAUGGAUUCUUGGUCAUGUACUUUGAUGUAUUUCAGAAAUCGUAUCAUAAAUCAGGAAAUUCUAUGUAGUAGUAUUUUUAACAAUGCCUAAAGUGAUCAUAUACUGAAGGUUUUUAUGUCAAUGCCUCAACUCACUAUUGAAGGCAAUUUUUCAGUUUGACUUGAAAGACUAUUGAAGGCAAUUUUCAGUUUGCCUUGAAUGACUAUUGAAGGCAUUUUACAAAAAGCCUCCAAAACUACUUUCGAAGGCAAUUUUUAGAAACUAGAUGAAUUCCCCGCGCGUUGCUGCGGAAAAGCAUGGUUAAAGAAAAUCCAUUGCAUGUCACUCUAAACAAAAAUUUAGUAUUGCCGUGUUGUGGGUGUUGAACCUAUGAAUGCUUACAAUUUAGAACGGUAAGUGACAUCCUUCAUUGGAACAUUUUCUCAUAAUGUUUAGCUGUCAUUCGGAUGUUUGAACUCCAAAUUUGAUUUCACGUCAGAUUAUGGUAUGCACAUCAUCACUGGUUUAACUCACAUGUAGCUUUCUUCUUUGGUCAUGGGCAUGACGACUUGAUUUUUGCUCCCACCCAGUAGAGACCACGUACAGUACACAAACUCAUUGCAGCCUGAGAGACUUUGGCAAUAAGUUAUGGUAUAUGUAAGCUAGUAAGUGCCAAAUUAGAAAAUAUAAUCCUUGGGAAUAUCAUUAUCUGCACAUUUACAUAUGCAAGAUAGAAAAUAAGCAGGACCUAAAAUUUGAAGCAAUGUUUGAUUGCUAAGUAAUACGCCACAAAAAUUUCAAUGUUUUAGCUAACUCAAAUUUAAAUUUUAUUUUCCCUCAAAUGUUUUUUUUAAUUUCUCAAUUAUACUAAGCUGAAUCAGAGUAACGAAGAUGGAAAGAAUAUCAGUUUCAGUGAAAUUAAAAGAACAGAUGAAAUUGGAAGGUAGAAACUCCUUGCUAACCUCAAUUUCUGAAGUACAUUAAGGAUGAUACAUAACACAUGUGAUGUUCUCUGUUCGUAGUCCAUAUCUCCUGCCAAUAUGAGUGGCAGGAAGGUAAAAAAAAUAGGUCCUAUGUACUAAUGAAAACACCAAGCAUCAAAGUCAAGAAGCUACAGACCUCCCGUGGAAAUAAAUCCGGCACAACACAUUGUUAAUCGAAACCACAAGCUUGAACAUGUGAAUCCUGCGAUGGUCUUCAUGGUGGCUUGUCAUCAUCCCCAGUUCACCACCGUUCGCGUCCUCAACGCCAUUGCAUGUGCAGGGGCCACCGGCGCACCAUAGAAGGCGGCCUGGGGAGGCGGAUACCUGCCUGUAUGCAGCAUCUAGCCUGCUAGGGCAGAGGCACCUGGUCCCACAUCUACGGCGGGGGAGGCGCCUGGGUGCUGCGGAGGUGGCGGGUAGUGCUGCACCGGCGGCAUGGGCGACAGGUGGUGCCCCAAUGCGGCAGGGCACCGGUCGGCGCCUGCUGCCGGUCAGCGGCUAGGGCAUCACGGCGGCGGCACGGGUGGGGCGACGGGCGAACCCUAUGGACGGGGCAGUGGCCCAUAGGGAGGUCUUUAAAGGGAGCACGAUUGGUCAGCUCCCUGCCUCCCUUCAUCGGUUCGGGAGAGCAUCCGUCGUGGGCAGCGGAAUAGAUGCUGCAGACGAAGUGGGAAGUAAAUGAACGUCGGGAGAGAAGAAGAGGAAACGGCAACAUCUGGGAGAAGGAAAGGUUCGUGCUAAUGGCCCAUGACCAGAGAACGGUUUGGUGUACGUGGUGGGCUGGAAACUUGGCCCAAAUUUCUUGGACGCUGAACGGGACACCGUGGGCUGUGAACUCGGUGGAUUCCACGGCGCUAGCAAAGCCUGGGCGCAGGAACGGGACGGUGCCAUAUGGCGGAAACAACAUCGUAGGAAAAAUGGUGACGUGGAUAGCUUGCAUGUUGAUCUUGCUAAAUUAACUGCACUUAGUGGGUUUCAACUUUAUAGAGUUUGUAGAUGACUUCAAUGACAUUUCCCUUCCCCAACUUUCUUGUCAUUUUUUAUAAAGCCUCCAAACACUUUUGAAAACAUUUUGCCCCCCUUUCGAGGCUUUUCAAAAUGCCUCCGAAUCACAUACGCGGUGUAGUGGGGGUAACACAUUCAAGCGUAGGAAACAAUCAGUCGAUGCUAGUGUCUCAGCAAUACAGUAGCUGGACAGGAGUACAGGACUUUAUAGUUUGAGAUCCAAGUGGCUCGCCAAGAUGGAGUGUUGUCACUGACGGACAGAUACGGGGCAGCGACGCUCUCCAAGACUAUCUGUUUUUUUUUCAUAUUUCCCUAUGCCUCCUUUUCCUACAUAUACGUAGGAUUCUUAGGAUUCUUGUACUCUCUCCAUUCCGAAAUAAGUAACGUGAAUUUGUAUAUAUGUAGUUCGCCCAUCCGAUCUAACGCGUUAUAUUCGCUAGUUUUUGCCACUCUCGAACACAUUUGCGUACGAUUGUAUACGAACUUGGAUCGGAUGUGUAUAUGUCUUCUUCUGCUUCCUUCGCUAUAGCCAGCUUGUGUGCUAGAUAGGGAAUGGUAGUACUAUUAAUGCCAUGUGCAAAUUUACAUGAUUCAUACAAAGAACGUCCUUCUUUCUAACUUUGCUACUAAGUAAUUUUGACAUGAAUGGAAGUGUAUACUACUCUUCUAAUUCUAAAUUCUUGACUCAAAUUUAUCCAAAUAUGAAUGUAUCUAUUCUUAAAAAGUUUCUACGUACAUGUAAUAUUUUAACAACAAUUUAAGAUCGAAUUGAGUAUAUUAAAACAUCAGUAGCAGCUAGCAUUAAUAUCACGCAUGAGGAUUAGGCCCCUAAUACAUUAAGGCCAGAGCGAACGAGCUUCUAGCGUAAUGCGUAGAGGCUCUGACAGCACCCUUUUGGUUUUAGUGCUGUCGUGGAGGAUUUAGGGCGUUUUUCAAGCCGAUUAGAAUUUUGUUUACCACAUUUUUUACCAGAUGACAUGGCAGGGGCGGUUAAAUGCCUGACCUGUUUACUUCCUUGGCAAAAAUUAAGUCCCCUUUCUACAAAUCGAAAUCCACGCGCGGCCCCUGUUUCCCCAAUCUGCAUUCGUGGAGAGGCGUCUGCUGCACUCUGUCGAGUAGCCAUUGUGGUGAUCCCGCCACAGCCAAGGAGAGACAGUAAUGGGGGAAGAAAGUUGGUCGUGCUUUUGCACGAAGGGGCCUGAUUGAUGAUUGCAGAACAGUCCGUGAUUCAAAUUAGCCAGAACUGAAUCUUUAUCGGUACUACCCCAUUCCUUUUUGUGUUGUAGUAAACAAUGGUGUUAAGAGUGCUUACUAAGAUAAUGUUAAUUAUCACUUAACUAGAAAGUAAUUACAUAAUUUGGUAAGUAAAAGAAACUACAUAACGAUGUGGGGAUGUAAUAUCUCCCCAUUACUUGUAAGCAUUCAGCUGCUGUUGCAUGCAUAUGUUUGGAGGGAGAUCCAGGAAGAAUAAGAAGAACAGAGUGAUUUAGCACCGGUUGAACCUCUCAUCCAACUCAACACAGAGCACACGCACACGCUGGGCAAAAUGUGCAAACAUAGCAACGAUCAGACUUUUUAGACCGGUUUCUCCUAAAAGCUGUCCUCACCUAGCUUCCUGAAUAAGCCGCACCAAAAAUUUAGCUAGACUUCCAAAAUAGUUUAGACCAAACUAGUUUGGUAGCCUAAUAAAAUUUAGAUGGCGGCUUUUAUAAGAAGCUAGGAAAAGUCAGCUUCUCAGAAAAGCCGGUUCAAGAAGCCGAAAUGAAGUGGCCUUAGUUUAGCUAGUCUUUAACACAGGGUUUGAGAGCCAACUGGCACGCCAAGAUCGAAUAUAUUGUUACCGAUGAACAAAUACGGGGCAAGUGGUGGUAUGCUUUGAUAGUUUUCUCCCAUUUCCCAGUGCCUCCUUUUCCUAUACACAUACGAUUGGUUGUAUGUGCAUACAGUUCAAUAUUCAUCCGCUCUCAUGCGUAUGGAUGGUAGCUAGCAGUUGUCACUGUGCGUACUAACUUGGAUGAGUUUUUUAUAUGCCGUCUUCUGCUUAUUGCUGUAGCGCGCCAGUUAGCGUGUUUGUGUAUAUAUAUAUGUAGCUAACAAGUGUGCUAAAUAAAGUAGCUAGGGAGUAGUGUGGAACUGUGAAUGCCAUGCAUGUGCAAAAUAACUCUUCCUAAACCAAUUGUAUUUAAAUAUUGAAUAAAUUCACCUUCGCGGAAUAUUUGUUGCUAGUCGCCUAUAUUAGCAGCACCAUUAACAUCACAAAUGAGGAUUAAGUCUAAGGAUGGAAGUAUGAUCCCACCUAUGUCCCGCUUUUAGGUUAUUGAAAAUUUUGUACAGUAGGUAAAAAUUUCGGUCUUAACGCAUUCUAGCUGGUCAUUAAACUUGAAGGCAUUGAUUCUUUGUCUAUCUAUAGUCUAUAUCCUUAGAAACUAAGUUUUUUUUUUGUCAUCCUAAUCAAAGUAGGUUGAGUUGAUUCCGGAUGACUUCCCUUAAUUUCAAAAGCAUCAAACUGAUGUCACCACACACCAUGCCUUAUUCGUGGAUGCACACGUAGUGUUUAACAAAUUCACCUUCUGGAAUCUACUCCUCCAAUAAUCCUCGAUUUUCCAUAACCAGUCGUUGUCCUACUUAAUUGCACCUGAACCAACUGUAUUUUUAAUCUCCGUUAAUUUGCAUGUUCACAACUUUUUGUGGAGAGGGUACCGACGUAUGGUAGUUAAAUAAGACACAUCUCCAGUGUGAAUAGAUCGCGUCGGAGUCCUGAAAUCAUGCUAACUUCUUUAGACAUGUGGAAAAUAAACAUGUUGCAGAUAAAUGUGCAUAUCCAUCAGCUGAACCAUUUUGAUCUUUUACUUUGAGUUGUUUUGUACUAGAGUAAACAUUAGUGCCAGGACUGCUUAAUAAGAUAGUGUUAAUUCCCUCAAAAAACAUGGCAGCAGCAGUGGCGAAGUUAGAGAAUUAGGCUAUUGGGUUCGAUCCCUUUGAUUACAGUGUAAUUUUUCACUAAAUAAACAAAGGAAAGACUAAAUUAGUGAAGGGAUUACUUUUUUCAAUGGGAAUGGAUCUACAGCACCUCCACCACUGGGCAGCAGAAGAAACAAUGGGUGCUUGUCUCAACAACCCGGUAGCCGGAUUCGAACUUAUGGUUUGAGACUCAUGUGGUGCGCCAAGAUGGAAUGUCGUCACUGAUGAACAAACACGGGGCGGCAACGCUCUCCAAAACUAUCUGGCUUUGUCCCAUUUCCUGGUGCCUCCUUUUCCUAAGUAUACGUAGGAUUGUUGUAUGUGGAUACAUACAGAUCGUCCACCCAAUCUGACGCGUAUGUACGGCCGAUUUUUGCCGCUGAUCUCUAACAAAUUUACGUGCAGUCGUAUACUAACUUGGAUCGGAUGUGUAUGUCUUGUUCUGUUUCCUUCGCUAUAGCCAGCUUGUGUGCUAGAUAAACUGGGAAAUGGUACUAAGAAGAACAGAGUGAUUUAGCACCGGUUUCGCGGUUUUGCUUGAUUUUUUACCCGUGGAUCCCUCCUGUCGGACGCCAUUUCGGUCCUGAAAACUUGCGAGGGUGAGAAGAAGGCUUGAGGUUUAAUCGCGGGCUAACGGGUCAGCUCGGGUUGGGGCCUUGAUUUAGGUUUUCUAAAGUAAUCGCACGUUUCUCGACUAUCUUUGCCUUUAGUAACAAGAUAGUUUCCGGUCACGUCCUAAUGGUUCCUGACCUGACAAUCGGCGGCCAGCAAGAUGGCCUUGGCCGGCGCACCAACCAAUUAAGCGGCGGAUUGGCCACUGACCAUGGACAUACAAUCACUUAAAUGCAUCCGUGCAGUGUAUAAGGGCAUUUAGAAUGCAUAAUAUCUUAUGUUGUAUCAUAUGCAUUAAAUACAUGUUUUAGACACAACCGCUCUAAUGUUUUGUAUCUAAUACUACUCAUAGUGCAAGUAACUUAGAUAGUAAUGUGCAUGCCAACUAGGCAUUUUGGUGACAUGGCAUAGUAAUAAAUGAAAAAAAAGAGUAAGUUGGUAACUAGAUAUGUUACCAUAACAUCAUACAAAUCAAGACAAAAUGAAUCUACACCAUAAUAGAUGACACAAUGCAUGACAUCACAUGUAAGUUACUUCCCACUAUGAAGGUAGUAAUUUAGACUAAUAACAAAGACAUGUUAUUAGUCUAAGUUAUUAUGCACUAUGACCAUCCUAAUAGGCUCUCAUUUAUUAUGUUUUGUGAGAGAGAAAUUAUGAUUUUUCUUGGGUUUAGCGCUAAGAGUUAUAUCUAGAUUAACAUACCAUGUCAAUCUCUCUCCUCUUUAAAUAACCUUCCACCUCAGCAUUUUGAUUACGUGGCAAUUUUAGAUACAGUACACGUCACUAUAUUGUAAGUGCCCUAACUACUGUGUAUAUAAUCGUCGAUUAGUUAGUGACGCAAUUGGUAUGUCUAAGAAGAGAGCUGCAAUCAUUCAUGGUUAUAAAAGCCUAAAAUCCAUCAAUCAAUCACACUCUAGAACGGAUUCCGAUAUCUCACAUGAAUUAUCAAGAUUAAUUGCUUAAACAUGUUUUGGACAAGACCAACAAAUUAAAUUAAAGCUGCAUGCAUGUGGUGGGGUGCGUUGGCGUCCUUGCGAGCAUAGAGUUCCUUGCGCUACCGAGCUGUGGACUCGCACAAUCUUGGCGCCAAACAUUGAUCCUUGGCAUCCCCGCGGGCAGAUUCUCGCUCAAGCUCUCCCAGGGACUGGUAUUGAGCGGGCCUCUAUAGUAGAGGAGUUCAGCUAUGCACCUAAUCAGAGACCGAAAGGGAGAUGUGCGAUAGUGAACUCUAUCGAGGGCUCAUGGGAUUGAAAUUAUCAUGCUACCCUUGCUGCCCGGUUAUUCUCCUCAGUCGCUCGGAUGGACGCGACGGUACCCGAAGGGCAACCUAGCAUCACACUUUUGAUAUAUGCUCUAUAUCUAAAAGAGCAAGAAUCAAUGCUACCGAUUUCCCCCGAAUUCCCCAAUUUCCUGCUGCCUCCUUUUCCUAGGUAUACUUGCGUACGACUGAAGUCAUGCAAUCUCGUACGUACAUAUACAGUAGGUGUUCUUAAUUUGCAUUGGUAUAUAUUUGGCUAUGGAAUACUCUUGGUUCUAUUUAUAACCGGCACAAGCGAACCAGCUCCAAUUAAUAUAUUUACUGGUAGGAUGGCAUGAGGUGGGUACGUAGGUAGCAAUGCAUGUACUUGCAUCCGAAUAGAUAGAAGUGUAAAAGAUAUUGGUUCCUUUGCAUCUGAAUUUUAAAAACUGACGCAAGAAAAAAGAGAAAAGGGCCAAAUUAAAACAUGUCCAUGUACGGAAAAAAUAAUCCUACAAGUCCUGCGCGGAUGGUUUGUUUUUGAGGAUGUAUCAAUUUUUUUUUUUUGCAGAGACACUGUGGUCAAUUAGAAAUGAAAUGUCUUUGGAAAGCAUAUGCAAAGGCAUCAAGAUGUCACCACACCAUGCCUUAGUCAUGGAUGCACACGUAGUGUUUAACACAAAUUCACCUUCUGGAAUCUACUCCUCCAAUUAUCCCCAUUUAGUUUCCUUGGCUAGCCUUUUUUUUUUUUCCACACAGAAGCAACUAGCUUGGUCCUACUUUACUUAAUUGCAACUGAACCAAUUGUAUUUUUUAAAUCUCCAUUUUGUAUGUUCAUGACUUUUUGUGGGGAGGAUACGGUAAUUAAAUCGGGGUCCCUGCAAUCAUGCUGACUUCACUUUGACAUGUGAAAAACGCAUAUGUUGCAAGUUUGCAAUACAAAUGUGCAUAUCGAUCACGUGGACCAUAUCGAGCACCACCGCCCACCACAUCUGUGCAUAUGAAGUGUGUAAACCUGACAGCAGCAGUGGCGAAGUUAGAGAAUUAGGCUAUUGGGUUCAGUCCCUUUAAUUACGGUGUAAUAUUUCGCUAAACAAGCAAAGCAAAGACUAAAAGUGAAGGAAUUACUAUUUUCAGUGGGAAUGGAUCUACAGCAUCUCCACCACUCGGCAGCAGAAGAAACAAUAUGGGUGCUUGUCUCAACAACCCGGUAGCCGGAUUCGAACUUAUGGUUUGAGACUCAUGUGGUGCGCCAAGAUGGAAUGUUGUCACCGAUGAACAAACACGGGGCUGCAAAGCUCUCCAAAACUAUCUGGUUUUGUCCCAUUUUCUGGUGCCUCCUUUUCCUACUUAUACGUAGGAUUGUUGUAUAUGUGGAUACAUACAGAUCAUCCACGUAUGUACGGCAGUUUUUGCCACUCUCUAACACAUUUACAUUUUAUAUACGGAGUAUGUAAGUUUGUAUAAGAACUUGGUUCGGAUGUGUAUAUGUCUUUUUCUGGUUCCUUCGCUAUAGCCAGCAUAUAUAUACCCAGCUUGUGUGCAAGAUAAACUGGGAAAUGGUAUUGAUGCCAUGUGCAAAAUAACAUGAUUCAUAAAAAAGAACGUCCUUCCUUCUAAUUUUUCUACUAGUGCAAACUGCAAGGAUGGUACUAUAUAUUUAUAUGCUAUAUUUUUGCUUAGCUUCAGUUUAGUCAUGUGCUGCUGUCAAAUUGUACGAAUCAGGUAAGUUGCUUAAAAUUCGAUGCUCAACUUUAUGCAUGCCAACGUAAAUGGACUUUAAACUGCGAAAAUCUAGUGCAAAUAUCCAUCCUUAGGGCAACUCCAGCCACACGACCCAUUUGGGACGGAUCAGACAAAACGCGUCCUCCAGUGAUGCAAUCCAUUUCGGCCACCAUACGCUUUU